GGAAGGAGUAGCUGCUUCCGGUGUUUGUUCCAUGUGGACAGAAACUGUUAUUGGACAAAACAGCUUUAAUUAAUAGAAUCUGAAUGGUAAGAGCGAGUAAUGACUGGAUUUACUGUAUACAGCAUUCAUGUACUAUGUAGAGUAUACAGCAUUCAUGUAAUGUAUAGCAUUUAUGUAGUAUACAGUAUUCAUGUAAUGUAUAGAGUAUACAGCAUUCAUGUACUAUGUAGAGUAUACAGUAUUCAUGUAAUGUAUAGCAUUCAUGUACUACAUAAAGAGUAUACAGCAUUCAUGUAAUGUAUAGCAUUUAUGUAGUAUACAGCAGUCAUGUAAUAUAUAGAGCAUACAGUAGAGAGCUUAGGAUUAAUAGUGAGUAUGUAGUUCACCCUGUGAGAUAUAGAAUAUAUUUACUUUAAAUUCACUUCUGAGCUUGAACAAAUUGUAGUAUAGUGUAUACCUUUAAGAAAAAAUACAAAUAACAAUAAAAUGGUGUAGUACCUGUAGCGGAACGCCAAUAUUAAAUCCACGAAUUCCGCUGGUUCAGGAAGUAAUCCACAGUCAAGCGCUGAAACAACAAGGCAAUAUCCCCAACCUCCCAGUAACCGGACGAAACACAGUUCUGAGAGUCAACUGAAGUCCUUUAAUUCUGCUUCACAAUUUAUACAAGUCCCCAUGCAAGGGGUUUCCUGAGUCCCCUCCCAGGGGCAUUCCCAGAGGGGACUACAUGGGGAACUUACAGUACAACACAUUUCUCCCAUCAGGCACUGCUGCACGAGAGGGAUCCUCCUCCUGGAAUAUACCGUUAAGUGGAUUAGCCCUCCGUGCAGCAGAACCGACAAUUUAUAUAAAAAUCUGUAACUUUGCGAAUAUACGGUUUAUUUGCACGAAUGGACGUUCGGUAGAUAGCUGGGGUCUGAGCGCAUCAUUCGUGAGAUUACCGCUCAGAUCCCAGCUAAAAUAACCGAACGCCGCACGAAAAACACAUUUAUUGAGAAACAUAUUAAAAAGACCGAUUGCCUUCCAGGGAAUGAAAUACCGAACGGCCUGGAACUCCCGAACGUCCUGGAGGCUCAGCGGUGUUCGUGCCGUCGAGUAGCCGUUUUUAGUACCAUGCGCUCGACGACCUAACACCGCUGAGGGAACAAAUGAUCCAAGAUGGCCGACCGCCGCAUGGUCGGUAGUCGAACGACGGCCACCCAGGAGAGCCUAUAAUUACCGAUUGCAACAUUGUUGCAAUCGGUUAACAAGCGCCACACGCCUCUAAGUGUGUGGGCUAUUAGGGGUCAUGUUUUCGGUUCACGAACGGCCCUCCAAAGUGCCGUUCGUGAAACGAAAGGCAAACCCCAUACAAAUAGCUAUCCGCAUUCGGCGGAUAGCAAAUACAGGCAAUUCAAGAUAUUACAGUCAGCAUACAGUGUACGUAGUUAAACACAUAUCUCCACCGACAUGCAGGCAACCCUUAAACGUACAGUCUCUGGUUAUAGUCCAAGUGGCUAGGUUUGCCACAAUGCUCCCCCAGAACCAAGCCGGCAUACACAGUCUGAUGCCCACGGAUCGGCUUGGGGAUGUCCGGAGGAGGGCUCACAGAUCACUUCUCAAGGUCUGUUUAUCUGGAUAACCCGUCAGCGUUACCGUUUUGUUUCCCGGGGCGAUAAUGGAUAGUAAAGUCAAAAGGCUGUAGCGCUAAACUUCAGCGCAGCAGCCUGGCAUUGUCUCCAGCCACACGGUUCAGCCACACCAACGGGUUGUGAUCUGUGAGCAAAGAAAAGGGUUGCCCAUAGAGAUAUGGUUGUAACUUUUUCAGGGCCCACACCACGGCCAGGCAUUCGUUUUCUAUGGCGGCGUAGCUCACUUCUCGGGGCAACAAUUUCCGGUUUAAAUAUGCUACGGGAUGUUCUCCGCCAUCUGCUCCGACCUGGCUCAGUACUGCUCCCAAUCCAAACAUUGAGGCGUCUGUGUGGACAAGAAAACGUUUAGUUGGAUCAGGAGCAGCCAGUACAGGGGCAUUGGUCAGAGCCGUCUUUAGUUGGUUGAAUGCCUGUUCACACUCUGGGGCCCAGAUGACCUGCCUGGGCAGGUUUUUCUUCGUCAAGUCAGUCAGGGGUUUGGCCAGGGCACUGUAAUUGGGCACAAAUUUUCUAUAAUACCCGGCAUCUCUGCUCUACCACCUGGUAUGGGCCCUGCCAGACGGCCUGUAGUUUGUCUGUGCGGACAGGUUUGAGGAUUAGCACCUUCUGCCCCACUUGAAAACUACGGUCUCUGGCACCUCUGUCAUACCAACGACGCUGUCGUUGCUGGGCGGCUUGGAGGUUGGUGCGCACUGCCUGAGUUAAUUCCUCCAGGCGAUCCCGGAACGCCAGCACGUAUGGUACAAUAGGGGUCCCAUCUGCGCUACUCUCUCCCUCCCAAUGCUCUCUAAUGAGAUCCAACGGUCCCCGGACCCUUCUCCCAAAUAACAGUUCAAAUGGGGAGAAACCGGUAGACUCUUGGGGUACCUCUCUGUAGGCAAACAACAGAUGGGGAAGGAAUCGUUCCCAGUCCUUAUGAGUCUCUCCGAAUGUACGGAGCAUCUGUUUUAGGGUACCGUUUAACCUCUCACACAAUCCGUUGGAUUGAGGGUGGUAGGCCGAGUUAAUGAUUGGCUUAAUGCCACAUAUUUUCCAUAACUGCUGAGUAACCUCGGCCGUAAAUUGUGUCCCCCUAUCGGAGACAAUUUCCUGCGGGAACCCUACUCUGGAAAAGAUUUUCAUCAGGGCUUCGGCCACGGUCUCAGCGUGAAUAUUGGUUAGGGCAAUCGCCUCGGGGUACCGGGUGGCGUAGUCCACCACGGUCAGUAUAUACCGCUUCCCAGAGGGGCUGGGUUUUGGUAGUGGCCCCACUAUAUCUACAGCCACACGGCUGAACGGUUCCUCAAUUAUAGGUAGUGGACACAGUUUCGCCUUGUGGCGAUCCCCCCUCUUGCCUACCCGCUGACACACAUCACAGGAGGUGCAAUAAUGUCUUACAUCUUUAGAAAUCCCGGGCCAAAAGAAAGCGUGAGUUAAGCGAUACCGGGUCCGGGUCAUCCCUAAAUGGCCGGACAGAGGGAUGUCAUGGGCUGUUCUUAGUAACUCAUGUCUAUACUUCUGGGGUACUACCAGCUGCUUAGUUUGGAGGGUCACAGAGCUUCCUAUUGCCCUUUCAGCCACCCGGUACAACAACUUGUUUUCCCAAAUGUACCGUUCCCCCUCCCGUCCCACCUGGUCCGUGUCUACCCUAUCUCGUUAUACCUGCAGUGUGGGGUCUGUCUGGACCUCUGCUUCAAAAGUGGUCGGGGUGUCCCAGGUCAUAUGCGUCAAGGGGGGGUCAUGGUUUCUUACCUGAGCCUCAGAGUGUGUUGGUGGUACCGUGGUGCGAGCCUGUUGCCGGGUAGUUACCGGAUGAGCUUCUUGCGAAGGAGCCUGGGGUAGGAAAGCUGAAGUCAUCUGGCCCAAGUCAUUCCCCAACACAACAUCUGCCGGUAACUUCUUCAUUAUUGCCACUUCUACAACCCCCUCCCCAGCACCCCAGUUCAAAUGCACCUUGGCAGUGGGUAGCCGGUACAUGGCUCCCCCUGCUACCCUGACCGCCACUGAUCCGCCAGUGUGGGCCGUAUCUGGAACCAAAUGUGGAGCAACCAGGGUCAAAGUGGCUCCCGAGUCCCUCAGCCCUUGUACUUCCUUCCCCCCACAAACACAACUUGACGGUGAUGCUGCCUGUUGUCUGUGGCUUGCACCGACAUCACUUCGUAUAAAACUCCCAAUGGUUCCUCAGUUUGCAGACUUGCCAGCUCAGCGUGGUCAGGUUCCGUGUGGUAGUAAUGAGCUGCUGCCCUUGGGGUGGAGUUUUGCCGUACCUGGUUCCACGCCUGUCUACUCCGAUUCUGGGUGCACUCCCGGGACAUAUGCCCCCACUGCCGGCAGGUAUGGCAUUGUAUGUUGGCUCGGCCAUUGUAGCGGAAUGGUGGUGGGGGGUUCCCUGGUGCUGGCCGGAAUGGGGCAGAGUUGGUAGGUGUGGAGAUGGUCGGGUGGUGUUGUACUGGUGGUUUCAGGGGACCCCUGUUGGUGAGCCCAUGAUGCCUCCUGGCAUUAAAGUGUUGAUCCGCCAACCGGGCGGCUUCUGUUAGGGUGAGGGGUUUUCUGUCUCUUACCCACUCUUGUGCCUCUGGUGACAGGCCGUUAAAGAACUGCUCCAGCAGGAUGAGUUGGCGCAGUCCCUCCAUGGUGGUGGCGUGGCUUGCCUGAAUCCACCCUUGUGACGCUUGGUCAAGCUUAUGUGCCCACUCAGCGUGGGAAUCUUUUUCUGGCUUCCUCAAUCCCCGAAAUUUACGCCGGUAUGCCUCCGUGGUUAUGGCAUACCUCUCUAGAAUUGCCCUUUUGACUUUAAAAUAGUCCUUGCUGUCCUCUCUGGGCACAGCGCGAUAAGCCUCUGCUGCUCGUCCUGCCAACUUGCCUGCUAGUAAGGGUACCCACAUUGCCUGCUCCAGAUCGUGUAGGUCGCAUAACCUCUCAAAAUCCUGCAGGUAUCCGUCGAUCUCAUCCUUCUCCUCACAGAACGCUUUAAAUGCCUGGUAGGGUAUUUUCUGCUUCACUGGAGCGCAGAAUGAGUUGGCGAUGGAUUCUGCCCUGGAGGGUGGCCCCAGGGGCUGCUGUGCCAUAAUGUAGUCCUGUACGUCUGCCAUCAGUACGGUCAAGAUGUCCAGGGGUACUGGCUGAGGUACAAAUUCCUGCCGGGUUCUCAGUUCCCUCUGAUAUGGGGUUUCCUCCCUGGCAGGUGGGGGUGGGCUGCUGUGUGCUUGGUCGCCCUCCAUCAGCUCUGCAAUUAGUACUGCUUUGGAUUUGUUGCUAGCACUUUUCCCUCUAGCCUCCAGCAGUUCCUUUAGCGUCUGCCUCUUUAAUGCCGUGUAAUCCGUCCCCAUUCACUGAUCGCUUUCGUCUGUUUGUUGCAUACGAAUUGCCUUUCCCUUUUUCCGUUCGGUUGUUUCUUUCAUUCGAAUGCGCUGUAUUCGGCUGUAGAGUUGGAUCCCGUCACUUGCCACCAAUUGUAUCGGAACGCCAAUAUUAAAUCCACGAAUUCGGCUGGUUCAGGAAGUAAUCCACAGUCAAGCGCUGAAACAACAAGGCAAUAUUCCCAACCUCCUAGUAACCGGACGAAACACAGUUCUGAGAGUCAACUGAAGUCCUUUAAUUCUGCUUCACAAUUUAUACAAGUCCCCAUGCAAGGGGUUUCCUGAGUCCCCUCCCAGGGGCAUUCCCAGAGGGGACUACAUGGGGAACUUACAGUACAACACAUUUCUCCCAUCAGGCACUGCUGCACGAGAGGGAUCCUCCUCCUGGAAUAUACCGUUAAGUGGAUUAGCCCUCCGUGCAGCAGAACCGACAAUUUAUAUAAAAAUCUGUAACUUUGCGAAUAUACGGUUUAUUUGCACGAAUGGACGUUCGGUAGAUAGCUGGGGUCUGAGCGCAUCAUUCGUGAGAUUACCGCUCAGAUCCCAGCUAAAAUAACCGAACGCCGCACGAAAAACACAUUUAUUGAGAAACAUAUUAAAAAGACCGAUUGCCUUCCAGGGAAUGAAAUACCGAACGGCCUGGAACUCCCGAACGUCCUGGAGGCUCAGCGGUGUUCGUGCCGUCGAGUAGCCGUUUUUAGUACCAUGCGCUCGACGACCUAACACCGCUGAGGGAACAAAUGAUCCAAGAUGGCCGACCGCCGCAUGGUCGGUAGUCGAACGACGGCCACCCAGGAGAGCCUAUAAUUACCGAUUGCAACAUUGUUGCAAUCGGUUAACAAGCGCCACACGCCUCUAAGUGUGUGGGCUAUUAGGGGUCAUGUUUUCGGUUCACGAACGGACCUCCAAAGUGCCGUUCGUGAAACGAAAGGCAAACCCCAUACAAAUAGCUAUCCGCAUUCGGCGGAUAGCAAAUACAGGCAAUUCAAGAUACUACAGUCAGCAUACAGUGUACGUAGUUAAACACAUAUCUCCACCGACAUGCAGGCAACCCUUAAACGUACAGUCUCUGGUUAUAGUCCAAGUGGCUAGGUUUGCCACAGUACCCUUUAGUAUGUCUAUACAGUAAAACAGAGUAAUGGGGCACUCACAUUUUCGCGUUUCGACGAAUGGCUUACUCAAUCCGGUGUGGUAAACCAUCAAGUUCCGAGUCCGUCUAUAUAUAGGUCUGUAAUUUACCGGGGUUCCCUCCAGGUGUACUCUUUCUGUGUUCCAAGCCUCGUUCUGAAGUGAAUGCCAUGUCAUGCCUCUCUCUUGAUAUCAGAAACGUAAUUUCCGCUCUUUUUGCCGUCUCAUCAUAUCCGAUUCUGUCAUCUAUAAGUAUGAACUCUGCUCUCUUCAUAUGUUCCACUGAUUGUUUGCAUUCCACUGAAUUCCUAUUUAGAUGUUGGGAACUCACGGUAUAUCUCCAUGGCAAUUUCAUCCAUAGAUAUUGUGACGGAGCUCCUGUACUCCAACCAAGUAUCUCCGCCCAACCCACUUCCUAGCUGCUGCCUCCAGAGCUCUUCUUUCCUCCCGACCAAGCUGCAGAUAUCGUCCCCUCUGCCUAUUCCUCUGCAGCUCUCCUUCCAGGCAGGUAUUGUCCUCUCUGCCUAUUCCUUUGCAGCUUUCCUUCCAGGCAGGUAUCAUCCUCUCUGCCUAUUCCUCUGCAGCUCUCCUUCCAAUCAGAUAUCGUCCCCUCUGCCUAUUCCUCUGCAGCUCUCCUUCCAGGCAGGUAUCGUCCCCUCUGCCUAUUCCUUUGCAGCUUUCCUUCCAGGCAGGUAUCAUCCUCUCUGCCUAUUCCUCUGCAGCUCUCCUUCCAAUCAGAUAUCGUCCCCUCUGCCUAUUCCUCUGCAGCCCUCCUUCCAGCCAGGUAUCGUCCCCUCUGCCUAUUCCUCUGCAGCUCUCCUUCCAGGCAGGUAUCGUCCCCUCUGCCUAUUCCUUUGCAGUUUUCCUUCCAGGCAGGUAUCAUCCUCUCUGCCUAUUCCUCUGCAGCUCUCCUUCCAAUCAGAUAUCGUCCCCUCUGCCUAUUCCUCUGCAGCUCUCCUUCCAGGCAGGUAUCACCCCUCUGCCUAUUCCUCUGCAGCUCUCCUUCCAGGCAGGUAUCACCCCUUUGCCUAUUCCUCUGCAGCUCUCCUUCCAGGCAGGUAUCGUCCCCUCUGCCUAUUCUGCUGCAGCCCUCCUUCCAGCCAGGUAUCGUCCCCUCUGCCUAUUCCGCUGCAGCCCUCCUUCCAGGCAGGUAUCGUCCCCUCUGCCUAUUCCUCUGCAGCUCUCCUUCCAGGCAGGUAUCGUCCCCUCUGCCUAUUCCGCUGCAGCCCUUCUUCCAGGCAGGUAUCGUCCCCUCUGCCUAUUCCUCUGUAGCUUUCCUUCCAGGCAGGUAUCGUCCCCUCUGCCUAUUCCUCUGCAGCUCUCCUUCCAGGCAGGUAUCGUCCCCUCUGCCUAUUCCUCUGCAGCUCUCCUUCCAGGCAGGUAUCGUCCCCUCUGCCUAUUCCUCUGCAGCUCUCCUUCCAGGCAGGUAUCGUCCCCUCUGCCUAUUCUGCUGCAGCCCUCCUUCCAGCCAGGUAUCGUCCCCUCUGCCUAUUCCUCUGCAGCCCUCCUUCCAGCCAGGUAUCAUCCCCUCUGCCUAUUCCUCUGCAGCUCUCUUUCCAGGCAGGUAUCGUCCCCUCUGCCUGUUCCUCUGCAGCCCUCCUUCCAGCCAGGUAUCAUCCCCUCUGCCUAUUCCUCUGCAGCCCUCCUUCCAGGCAGGUAUCAUCCCUCUGCCUAUUCCGCUGCAGCUCUCCUUCCAGGCAGGUAUCACCCCUCUGCCUAUUCCUCUGCAGCUUUCCUUCCAGGCAGGUAUCGUCCCCUCUGCAGGCUAUUCCUCUGCAGCUCUCCUUCCAGGCAGGUAUCGUCCCCUCUGCCUAUUCCUCUGCAGCUCUCCUUCCAGGCAGGUAUCACCCCUUUGCCUAUUCCUCUGCAGCUCUCCUUCCAGGCAGGUAUCGUCCCCUCUGCCUAGUCCGCUGCAGCCCUCCUUCCAGCCAGGUAUCGUCCCCUCUGCCUAUUCCUCUGCAGCCCUCCUUCCAGGCAGGUAUCGUCCCCUCUGCCUAUUCCUCUGCAGCCCUCCUUCCAGACAGGUAUCGUCCCCUCUGCCUAUUCCUCUGCAGCUCUUCUUCCAGGCAGGUAUCGUCCCCUCUGCCUAUUCCUCUGCCGCUUUCCUUCCAGGCAGGUAUCGUCCCCUCUGUCUAUUCCUCUGCAGCUCUCCUUCCAGCCAGGUAUCGUCCCCUCUGCCUAUUCCUCUGCAGCCCUCCUUCCAGCCAGGUAUCGUCCCCUCUGCCUAUUCCUCUGCAGCUCUCCUUCCAGGCAGAUAUCGUCCCCUUUGCCUAUUCCUCUGCAGCUUUUCUUCCAGGCAUCGUCCCCUCUGCAUCUAUGGCCCUGGGAUAUAUGGCAUUUGAAAACAAUAUUUGUUCCCUGUGACAAAACUGGAGAUUGUGCACAAAUAUGACUAUUGUCCAUAUUUUUUAUGAUUCCCUUUGUUUGUUGCACUGUUCCCUGUGUGUUUCAUCUGUUGGUUCGGCUGGAAAGACUACCAGACAAACUGUGGAGUUACUGGGUGGCCACCAUUUCAUGUAUCAGAGACACAUGGUGAGAACAAUGGAUGAAGCACAUGGUGAGAACAAUGGAUGGCGGCCAUUUUAACUCACAGACACUGUUUGAACUUUUGUACACGGUACCAUCUCGCCGGUAUUUGGUGCACAAAGACAUCGUUCAGUAGUUUUAAACUACAGAACAGGGGACACAUUAUACAGUAAUUAUUUUUCAUGUAGCCUGUAUAUGUUCUGCGGAAUCUGCAUUAAACCGUAUCUUCCAAACUACUGAACGGAUCUGGGGGAAUUUUGGAUAUGUGGUUCACCCAGAUCCCCCGGUUCCGAGGAUAUAUUUAUGGGGUUAUUGCAUGUUUUUGGGUCCCUGUGAUAUGUUUUAUAAUACUGUAUUUUCCUGCCUGUAAUAAUUAAGUUAGUCUAUUGUGUUGAGAUAAUUGUAUCACAGGCAGAGGGGAGGAUUUCUGAUGUAAUGAAUGGGAGUGUUAGCUGUAUUGUAAUGUGUUGAUUGGUUGUUCUGCAAAACCCUGUGGUCAGUUCUAAUUCACCCUCAAUUUGGAGUGCCGUCUCUUAUUGGGGGAAUCUGCUACAAGGGAUUGCUAUGCUCUGCAUACUCUCUUGCUAUAUUCACUGCUAUCUCUUGUAAGAACUUGUUCCUGUCUUGCUCUCUGAAGGAGUCUACGGUGGUUAUGGUGUCGGCUGGAGUGCAUGGAGCCCUCAGGAAGCGCUAGGAGCAUCCUUCAAUGGAAGUACCCAGUCGGGGUGCCAGGUGAUCUGUUACAACCAGUCCUAGCUCUCUUGCUUUAUCCUAGGGCGAGAGGGAUCCUGCAACCAGCAAACAGGUCCGAAGACUGUCACUGGAAUCCCUACAAAAUCCACACAUAAACAUUGCUGUGACAACUCAGUAAAAAUACAGUCAAAUCAUAGCAGACAACAUACAGCAACUUAUAACACAAUGACAUAUUUAUAAAGGGGUGGGGAAGACAGUAAUUAACAGAAAAUCUCUCUCCUGCCUGCAGAAUUAGCAAUAUGCAAAUCUACCAAAAUAUGCAAAUUAACCAGCCUUGCCACUCAGGUAGUGCAUAGAAACCUAGAAUGUGACGGCAGAUAAGAACCAUUCGGCCCAUCUAGUCUGCCCAAUUUUCGAAAUACUUUUAAUUAGUGCCUGGCCUUAUCUUAUAGUUAGGAUAGCCUUAUGGCUAUCCCACGCAUCCUUAAAGGGACUCUCCAGUGCCAGGAAAACAAACUCGUUUUCCUGGCACUGUAGGUCCCCUCUCCCUCCUACCUCCCAUCCCAAGUUGCUGAAGGGGUUAAAACUCCUUCAGUGAUUUAACUGUAUCCUGUGAGGAUAUUUAUGGGCUGAUAAAUAUUAAAAAUAAUAUUUUCAUAAAAAUGAUCAAAAAAAUAUUUAAUCAUUUUUAUUAUAUCAAAAAUUGAUAUCUUGGCACUGUUUCACCGAUUAAUGAUUUAAAGCUGAGAAUUACCCACUAUUUUAAUUCUUAGAUCCUAGAGGAAGUUUCACUAGAAGAUUUAACUACACACAGUACUCACAAAUUAAUUGUAAAAAUAUAAUUUAUUGUGACAAUAAUAAUAAAAAUAAUAAUAAUAUGUAACAUGCGUGACAAUCAGUGAAUAUUUAGGUAUAACUUUAGUAUACAAUAUGGCAGUGGUUUAACACAAUAUAGACAGUUAUAUAUGCAACAGUUGUCAAGAAUAUUUAUGACAAGACACUCCUUUGAAAUCAACAUAACACGGAAUACAGCAUCUAAUAGCUUUUCACAGCAGCAGUGCAGCAUAAAGCAGUAAAAACUUUGGCUGACAGUCAAAUCACACUGAAUUAACUCUUUCACUCGUAGGCAAGAUAUCGUAUUAUAUUGCAAUUUUUACAGCUACAAUAUUCUCAUAUCGGAUCAUUCACCACUCCUAGGACCAUCCAAUAAGAAUAAUUCUAACUAGAUUUUACAUUUGCAGAAUAUCAGAAAAAGUCAAUACCUCUGGAUAAAAAUUGUGUGUGCUAACAUUUGGCAAAUUUAGCGUUAAUAAAUCGUUAUCUUUAUUCCACCUGCAGGAGUGGAAUUUGUAAAACCAUAUAUUCCUUAGCUAAUUAUGAUUUCUAAUAAUUGAAAUCUGACCAAGAUUUAUCCAGAUAUAUAUUCCUGCUAUUAGUAAAAAGUAUGAUGAGAGAAUUGUAUGAGUUCUGAAGUUAUGUUAGUUGGAAAAGUAUAAAGAGUUAGGUGUGUCUCAGAGCGUCUUAGACUGUCCAAUAGUCAGAAUGCGGAGAGUCAAAAAUGGGUCGCAAGAAAAUACUGAGAAUGGGCAGCAGCUGAAAUAGCCUGCCCUUCGGUCGUUACCCGCUCAGUUCUCAAGCUGAUUUUUGCUCAUCUUGUGCCAUUACAGAGAGAACAUAUCUGAAGCAUAUCAGACUGGUCCCACCCAUACAGGCAGUUCAGAUCCAAAAUGCCAGCAAGUUCUCUCUGCACGAGAGAUACAGCAACCCCAGACAAUCGUUUCAGCCUUGUUAGGCAUCAUCAGUGAGGCAUAGCUGAUAUCUCCCUAGGCACCGUGAGCAAGGGGUCCACGUCUGGAUUAUCCCUUUAAACUUGUGGAGAGUCAAAAAUGGGUCGCAAGAGAAUACUGAGAAAUAGUCAGUAUGUGUAAGUACCAGAGAGUGUUUCAGAGCGUCUCCUCUCUUCCCUUUGUCCUUAAUUUUUAAAGGACUAGUUACGCUAUACGUCACUAGUUGAUAGGACCAAUAGAGAACUGUGGACAUGUCUUCCCUACUGACUAUCAUCUAGAAUUUGGUCAGUAGAUGGCACAAUUACAUCACCAAAAAUUCUUGUCAGGGGGUCCGUUUACCUUUUUGUAUAAUGACUUCACUGAAUUUUGUGAUGUUUGAUGUAAUUUGGUUAUCUUUUUAUAGCUACUGUUCGUCAAAGAAGCUGUCAUCUUCAAAGCGUUUGGUUCACUCUUAUCGAGACUUGGUGUAUACCUUUAAAUUUAUUUUCCUGACAUGUCUAAACUCUUCUUCAUCUUUUCUUACAAUGGAACUUUGUAAUAUUCUGUUAGGUUGUUUUUUUUUGUUUUUUUUUUUAGAAAGUAAAAUUAAUUACUUAGUGUUAUCUGUUAUUUGGUGUCUGUGUGGUUUUCUUGUUUGAAACUGUAGUUAAGAUUACACAUAUUCCACUAACAUUAGUAAAUAAUAUGAUAUUAUAUCCAUGAAUGUUUUAUAUUAUUAACUUAGUACUAUUUAUAUAUGAUUAAUAUAAUAUAGUAACACUACUGAAGUAAGGCUGACUGGCCUAUAGUUGCCCGACUCCUCCCUAUUACUUUUCUUGUGAAUGGGCACAACAUUCACUAACUUCCAAUCGUCUGGGACUACUCCUCUUAACAAUGAUUGGUUAAAUAAACCUGUCAAUGGUUUUGCAACUAAGCUCUUUUUUAUUUAUCUUUUUAUUUAACAUUUUAUUUAGCAAAUGAUGCACACUGGCAAAUUGUACUUUGCAGAAAUAACAAUUCCAAGCAUUUUUGUCAGGUACAAUUCCUGCUAGUGAUGACAUCUGUAUGUUAUCAUGGACACUUUGCACACAUUCAUACUGUCAAAUUGAGUAGAUAACAUAUUGCUUUUUACCGACAUUGCAUAUUUCAGACAUUCAAUACGCGGAGCAUUGUGUACAAAAUUUUAGUUUAGUAGUGAGGUGGGUGGAUUAACAACAGGUGGUUGGGCCGGUGUGGGGGGGGGGAGGGAAGAUUCCCCUGUGUAUAACAGAUUUACCAUCCAAACUUCUUGUUUCAACUCAAUGCCGUUUGCAUCUGUGCAAAUGGGUACACGCUCUCUUGUGUAUGUUCAGGGAGUCAGCCUUUGUUGGUGUAUUCCAUCAGGUCCCAUUGAUUUAUUUGGCCUUACGUUUGACAGUUGAACUAGAACCUCUUCCUCUGUAAACUCAUAUGUAACAAAUGCCUCACUUGUCCUUUUUCCUUACUGAGGCCCCUUUCCUUCAUUUUCAUCUGUAAAUACUGAACAAAAAUAUUCAUUGAGGCAGUCAGCUAGACCUUUAUCCUCUUUGUAACGAAUACCCUAUUCAUGGAUAACAAUAUUAUUACUGGUUUGCACUUUUGCUACGAUAUGCUGCACCUAUAUUCCAUACAAAUGUUUAAACGAACAAACUGUGCCUAAUUUGUUCGUUUACCGAACAGUUUGCUGAAUGUUAGACGACCCAAGCCAGUUGUGUGCCGCCAAUUGACUCAUUUGACUCUAUGCAAAACCGCAACCUCAAUGUUCUAAGUGGUUCACUGGGUGGCAAUUGAUUCGUAUGCAUUAACCCGUUGAGGCGGCCAUCUUGUUUUGUCGAACGCGUCCAGCAGGGUUUGGUCGUUGAGUGUCUGGAACUAAUUUCGCACUCUCGAUCUCCCGAACACCGCUGAGACUUCCAGGGACACUUAAAUUCAUUAUAAUCCAUCCGAAGAAGGCGGCAAUUGACAGAAAUUGUAUAUGAAUGAAGCGGCACAUGACCAUCAAAUGAACGAUUUAUGUGAACUAUCAUUCGACAUUUUGGUACUGCGCGAAAGAGCCUGGCCGCACUAGCUGAACGCAUGGAAGUAUUUUGGGCAGGUGCCUUGUGUGCGGCCGUGCAGAAAUGGAACUUCCAGCUAUCUCCCGAACCCCUGAACCGAUUCGUAUAAUUUUUUGAUAUAUUGUUCCCCUGACUAUGGACUAUCAGAAUAUGUGUGUUUUGUGGGGGUUGGAUAUGGUUCUGGGGUGUUUCUGAAAACGUGGAAUUUUUUUUAUUUUUUCGUUUGGAGAUAAUUGAGUUGAUACAGUAAUUAACUCAAUUAUCUCCUAAGCAGAGGGGAGGAAUUUUAUGUAAUAAUUGGGAGUGUUUGGUUAUGUGACUCUAUUUUUAUUGGCUGUUAACUGUAUUUCCCUGUGCCCCACAAGGUCUACCUGGGUGGUAAUCUUGUGGGAAAAGUUGCAUAAAAGGCCAGCCUGGCCCAUUAAAGCUUCAGAUCUGCUUAACCUUCAAUACAUAGCCGUGUCUCGUGUUUGUAGGGAACCUGCUUCAGAGCUAAUCACUAGCUCUUGUAAGAGCUCUAUUACCCCUUCACUACUGGUUCGGCUGAGGUGGCAUCUGGAGAAUAUUGCAGCACAGCUUCUCUCAAGGGAAUAGGAUGUCUCCAACAGCAUACACCCCUAUGAUACUCUGGCUAGCCGUUACACUCUUCUACAUGCCUUCUUUCUUUUGUUUUUAAUCUAACUAAUCCUUGUUUUACUUUCCUUUCUCAUUUAUGUAUCUAAAAAAAAUGGCUUUUUUUACUGACUGUACUAUUUUUCUCUUCUGUGUGUAAAUUUGGAAGCUCUGAUAACUUGCUUAGCCUCUUUCUGCCUAAUCUUAUAGAUCUGUCUAUCUUCCUUCCUCUGGUUUUUUUUUAUAAUUACUAAAUGCUAACUUUUUGUUUUUUACUAUUUUGGCCACAUCUGUGGAGUACCAUAGUGGUUUCUCAAUUUUUUUGCUUUUACUGACAAACCUAACACAGUUUUCUGUUGCCUUCAGUAGUGCAAUGUUUAAAUAAUCCCACUUCUCAGGGACUUUAUUUAAUCUGCUCCAGUCUGAUAAUGACUCCUUUACACACAUUCUAAUUCAAGAAAAAUCUGUUUUUAUAGUUUAAAACUUUUGUUUUUGUGUGGUGUGACUCAUUCACUGUUCUUAUAUUAAACCACACUGACUGAUGAUCACUGGAUCCUAAAUGUUCACCUACAGUAAUAUCUAAUACCAAAUCUUCAUUUGUUAACACUGAAUCUAGUAUGGCCUCUUUACGAGUUGACUCCUCAAUGACUUGUUUUAGAGACAAUCCCAGUAGGGAGUUUAGAAUAUGUGUGCUCCUGGCACAAGCAGCUAUUUUGGUUUUCCAGUUCACAUCAGGAAGAUUAAAGUCACCCAUGAUGAUAACUUCCCCCUUCAUUGUCAUUUUAGCUAUUUCCUCAACUAGUAGAUUAUUGUUUGUGGUUUAAAUUCAGUAGACAGCAAUGUUUUCUCUCAGGUAUGAAGACAAGGAAUGGACACAGCAGAAAUAUGAGCGUGGAGGGCAGUACUUGUCCACACAAAUGUAUGGCUGAAUAUUGCUCCUGAUUUAAUGGGAGAAGACACAGAUCUUAGAUCCAAUUCUUUACAUAUCCAAAAAGGGGUUGUCUUCACACAAUACAUUAGGUUUUACAUAUGGUCAUGUCCAGUGAAAUGCAUCUUCAAAGAACUUAUAACACACCUGGCAUUAGCUUUUGAAAAGAUGUUACUUGAUUAAACAAACACUUUCCAACAGUCAUAAAGAUAAGGUGUUAACAAGAUAUAGGGGGCUGGGGGGAACAAGAAGAAGGUAAAAUCAGGACAAAGACAGCGUAGGUUGAAACGUUGUGAUGGAGUGGGCUCAAUAAAAUUGCCUGGUUUGUACCUCGGAGUGCCUGGACUUUUCUUCUAUUUUUGUUAUUCAGCAUUUGGUCUCUGGUACUGAGACUGUCCGAGUUGCACCCAGCUACAUACUACUUAAAGGGACAGAGUGCAGUUCCACACCCUACCAUAACUACUUCAUAAUAGAGCAUCCUGACAUUACUCAAUCCUUGUGUGAUACAUGAUAUAAGGGGAAAGGUGGUCAUUAACCCUUAUCAUUCCAAUCUUUUAUUCUGAAAGAAUAAUGUAACGGAGCUACCUGUACUCCGACCGAGUACCCUCCGUUGAUGGAUGCUCCUAGCGCUUCCUGAGGACUCCAAACACUGCAGCAGACACCACAACCACCGCAGACUACACAACCGCCGUAGCUUAACUGGAGUCUCGCCGUCUUCCUUCCACCCUGGAUCAGCUUCUGUCCUCCAAGACCGUGUGGGGAAGACCUCUCCUCCAGGAGAGCGUAACAGGAACAGCUCUUAAAAGAGCUAAGUGAUUAAAAGCUCAGGGGAAUAUGCAGAGCAUAGCAAUCCCCAGUGUGAUAUAGCAGUUCCCUCCAAUAACGAGACAAGGCUACGUAUUGAGGGUCAAGAAGAUCUGUUUACUUGGCACCAAAGGGCCUUCUUUUAUGCAGGUUUAACACAUACAGGACCGCCCACAGGGGUUUACAGAACAACCAAUCAUAAACGUACAUUACAGAAAACACUCCCAGCAAUUACACACAAAAAUCCUACCCUCUGCCUGUGAUCUAAUUAUGGCACACAAUGCUUAACAUAAUUAUCACAAGCAGGAAAAAUACAGUUUUUAUACAUGUACUAUAACUUUAAAACUACACAUCCAAUCUUCAUAAAUUACAUAUUUGGAAUCAGCACACUUUAAACAUAAACAUAACCAAAAAUUAGCCAAAUCCAUCCAGGGGUUAAAAAGUUAGCUGGAGGUCCCUUUAUGACCGACCGCAAGCACAUUUUCCUGCCCAAAACAGUUCCAUAGAUUUGGGCUGUGCGGUCGGUCUAUUUCAGGCUGAAAAAACGACUAAGUCCCAUCGCCGGUUGGGACUUAGUCUCUGCAGCUGUAAAAUCAUUGUGGGAGAAGGUAGGGCUCAGCGGUGUUCGCGGAAAUGUGUAGCCGAUUUUAGUUCCAUGAAUUUGGCUACACAUACCGCUGACCUCGUUCGCAUUAACAAAGAUGGCCGCCGCCACGUGUUCAGCAAACGAACAAAGGCCACCCAGCAUUGUCAAUUAAGCUGCGGUUAACCGCAGCUUCUGGGAGGUAAAUUGCCUGCACACUUCCACUUCUGGGUGGUCUGCCUGUGUGGUACUUGGUUCAGUAAGCCCCAUUUACUGAACCAAGUGGGAAAUAGCCAGGCACAAAGGGCUUUAACCAGGUCUGGGGACACAGGGCACAGCGUCUUAAAGGGGCAGUGUCCCAAACAAGUCUGGGGACACCGUCUUAAAGGGGCAGUGUCCCAAUCUUCCUGAUGUCCCAAAAAGGUGUUUAAAGGGCCAGCACCGGUCCCAUAAAGAGUCCAUAAGCCACAAUAUGCCCACUGCCUGUCUUAAAGGGCCAUACACACCCAAUAAAAGUGCAUAAGUUCCCACAAUCUCCCAGGGGCCAUAGUCAUGUGGAAGGAGGUUUGCAAAUAGGCUUCUCCACAACCCAGGGAAGCAGGGCAAUUUGCCAUUUAAAGGCCCAGUUACAAAUAGCAGUUUGUAACAAAUAACAUAUCAUUAAAUUAAUUAAUUGUCUAUUAUAGCAAUCAGGGAAGAAAAAAAAGUCAGAACAAUUAUUUCUGAAGAAAAUCUCUGGGGAGCCAUGGCUAUAAUUCGUCCUCCCUCCUGGACGAAUUAAGUUUAAAUGAACAAUUUAGUUGAAUUUAGAGCUUGGUAUAAAUUCUUUGCAGUUCUCAUAACAUGAUUGUGUUUCCCCAUGAUGAAGGGUAUGAAGCCCGCUUAGAGUGUGAUAUAUUAAUAACAUAUUUUACUAUCACUGUUCUUUGGGACCAAAUAAUAUUUAUCAGCGCAUAACCAAGUCCCAUGGAAAGAACAAUAAUUAUUGUUCAUUCUGAACCAAAGUCUGAGGUUGAUCAUUCUUUGUUUUGACUAUCAGGAGGGCUUGAUGUGGGACAUCUUUUUAAUCGGCUUGCAUGAAUCCAUAUCUGGUUCUCCUCGGUCAGAACGGCUGUUUGGGUGAUGGCAACAACGUUUGUCAGAGGGCCAUACGGUGGAUCAAAGGUUCCGGAUUUGAAGAGGGACUUCACCAAGACUUGGUCUCCAGGCCUAAAAGGAUUUGUGGUAGUACCUGCAGGAUGAGGAAGAGAUAGAGACACAUCACCAUAGAAUGUGGUUCAAAGAGUAUGAAUGUCCCAAAGAGCUGAAUCUCUCAAAGAGCCGAAUGUUUGAAUCUUUUUUUUUUUUUUCUGAAUCCCUUUGUGCACGUCAUUAAUGAUAGGACCAAUAGGGAACUGUAGGUGGGUCUUCCCUACAGACUAUCAUCUAGAUUUUGGUCAGUAGAUGGCGCAAUUACAUCACCAAAAUAUCUUGUCAGGGGGUCCCUUUGCCUUUUUGCAUAAUGGGUAAUCUGAAAUUGGUGAUGCGUUUUACGUCAUUUACAGCUAUCUUUAUGUCUACUAUAAAUCUAAAUUCCUGCCAAUUUCAAAGGUUUUGUUUCACUCUCACCCAGACUUAAUGUCUGGCAUGUACCUGUCACGUAUUCAUCCGCUUAUAAAAAUGUGGUUAAUGACAUUUACUGUCCACACAGGAAAAGUUGUGCCGAGCAGCAACCAAAUCCACAGAAGGGUUAAUGCUGAGUAGCUAUUAUGCAAAUGGGAACCUGGUAACUGUCUUUGGGGUCAAAGGCCAGUUACAGCCUAUCAGAUCUAGAGGAGGGGUAUUUAGAGCCAGUUUUCAUCCUGCUCAGUGCCCUGUCGUGGUUUCCCUUGUGGUUGUCUGAGAGCGUGUUAUUGAUUCUGGUAAUUCUGGUUAUUUGACUUUGGCAUUGUUUUUGACUUCAAUGUUUUCUGGCAUCCCUGAUUCCUGGCUUUUCCUUAUCGUUGUGUCUCUUUCUGUUUCCCUCGACCUCGGCUAUUCCUGACUAUUCUUUGGUACGUUAGUCUGGCCAUUCUAAGGUCCGGUAUACGUUACCUAUCAGUCCUCUGUGUUACACAAUUCUACGUGCUGGAUCAUUCUGUAAUCCUGACAAUACCUUUAAUACCUUUCUAUCUUUCUGACAUCAUGUCUAAACUCUCCUUCACCUCUUGCUUUCAAUGGAACUAGUGAUGUUCUGUUAAUUUUUUUUAAAUUUAAAUUUUAAUUUUUAGAAAGUACAAUUAAUUACUUAGUGUUAUCUGUCAUUGGUGUCUGGUUUUCCUGUGUGAAACUGUGUUUUAGAUUAUUUCUAUUCCACUAACAUUAUUAAAUAAUAUGAUAUUUCUUCAUUGAUAUUUAUCUAUGAAUAGUCAAUAUUAUUAACAUGAUACUAAUUAUAUAUGAUAAUAUAAUAGUAAUUUAUAAGUGGAUAGUGUGUAUAAGUAUAUACAAUUAUGUAUACAUUUGUCUCUGGGUUUGUAUUCCAUUCCCCCAUUUUUUUUCUGUGAGACCUCAUGCCUUAUCACUUGUCUUGUUUACAUAACGCAUUCCUUAGCUCAGACUUGGAUGAAUAGAGUGAUAGAAAGAAAUCUUGUGUCUGUCUUAGCCUUGUAGUACAAAAUAGAAUCACCUCUGUUCUGAGAGUGACUGGCAGUAUACACUUUUAAUUUCUGUCUUAAUACAAAAUGUCUACCGAUAUAAAUAUACUGACAGAUCAUUGAGGAUACCAGAAGCUGCAUCAGGUGUAAUAGAAUGUAUGCUCCAGUAAGCUAAGUCAUCUGAAUAUGCUGCAGCCUGUAUAAAAAGAAUAUCAAUAUCAUCAGUAUGAGGGGCUCUAUGCACUGCAGUUAAGAUCUGGUAACGAGAAAUAGUACUGUAAUUUGGCCAUAAGGGAAAAGAGGCACCAAAUCUGCAAAAUCAUUACCAUCCCUGACAAUUGAGUGAUCUGUAUCAUGGCCCUUGCACUUCACAAUAGCUAAAGAUCUAGGUAACCGUAUGGCCCUCAAUAAUCCAUCAAUUAAUGCAAAAUGAGAAACCGUUCGACCAUCAGCUGCAACAAAGCCUCUAGCCUGUCAAAUGACACCAAAAUAAUGAACCACUCCAAAGGCGUAUCUCGAAUCGGUAUUCUGGCCCAGACUUAAUAUCUGGCAUAUACCUUUAAAUCUAGCUUUCUGACAUGUCUAAACUCUCCUUCACCUCAUGCUUACAAUGGAACUAGUGAUUGGGGUUUGGAGGGAACUAUUUGCCAGCUUUUUACCCUGUGACGAUGGCCCCUUUAAUUUAUUGUGGAUGAGAGACUCUAUUUGUGGCUAUUGGGACUUUAAACAAUUGUUCUUCGAACUCCCGAACAGUUGAAGUGGCUGCCAUUCGACGUGGUGGCGGCCAUCUUGUUCACAUGGACCAAAACCACUAUUAGACUUCAGGGGGACUUAGCCGCGAAAGCCCUGGAACUAUUUUCGGCAUGAAAACCUUGUGGUUCACGGUCAGAAGACAUGAAUGGACUUUAUAUCAAGGAACCUAGCCAUAUCAUUCCUGAGUUCAUCCAUCUGCUGCGCUCAGAACUGGGCUACAUAAUGAACGCUGGAAUGGAAAAUAUGUCUGUUAAAGUAUUAAAGUUAUGUAAUUUUAUACAGUUUUAUGGGUUGUAAUAAAACGUGGGAUUUUGGGCACUUGGAGAUAAUUACAUUGUCCCAACCGUUGGACUCAUUAUCUCCAAGCUGGGUGGUAACAAUUUCAAAGGAUACAUUGUAUUACUAUUAGUCAACUGCUCAUAUUGUCACUGUAUCCCAUCAGGUCCAGAGGGGGCUGUCCCUGGAAUAGUGAUGCCUGUGUGCCAUUAAAGCCAGUUCGUUUUACCCUCAAUUCGCAGCCUCGACUCGUGGUGUAGGGAUCCGGGAAUCCUAGCUUUACUAUAGCUAGUGGGAUAUUCUACACUUACAGGUUUCUACUGUUUGAAGCAGAGUUCGACUCUCCACCUUCGGGAACCAGGACAUCAAAGCGAUCCAAACUCCUGCUAGACCGGAGGCAAUCGUAACAUGUUCCUAUCUUGUUAUAAAAAUGUUUUUUUGGGUUUUUUUUUAAAGUGCAGUACCUCUUGACUACCUGUACCAAAUGUUUAAUAUGAUAUGUAAUACUGAACAAGUCACUGUUUACGCCUGUACUAAGCUCUGCACUCAAAAAUAAAGAAUAAAAAAAAUUAAAAUCUGCCCUCCAAACUGUUGAUCCAUUGUUACUCUUUUUAAAUAAUUGGUGGCGCCUUCUGGAAGCUUAAAUGGAUCAGGACACUGAGUCCCAAGAGAGACCAACUGUGAUCCAGAAGGAGGCUUAAUUAUAACAGUCUCACCAGCAACUACAAAAGGAUAGGCAGAAGCAGACACAUGACUGGGAACUAGUACACCAUGACUCUUAUCACACUCAUCCGUCACUAUAACACUACCACUGCCUGGCAACAAAUUUCUAGCUUUGUCAGUAAUUCAUCUUUAGAUAUAGCAUGGGCCAGCAUCCGUAGAUUGUUCUAUUCCAGUGUAACAGCUAGAAUAGACUUACUUUUAUCAACAUUCUUAUUCCCUGCACCAACAUCCACAGACUUUUUAGUCACUUUCUCAUCUUUCAUACCAACAUCAACACUUUCUGCAGUGGAUCUCACCAUUGCAGAAGAAUUCACAACCAUCUGUCCAACAUGCCUGUUCCCUCUACCAAUCGCCAUUAAAAUUUCAUCAGUAUAAUCAUCCGAAUAAUCAUAUUUUAAUUCACUUAAACUAGGAUAUAAUGGUACAACAGAUGGUACAUAAGCAGGUGGUGCUGCAGAGGCCUGAACAUACUUUGUAGCCUGAUGAGGAAUAACCCAUAACUGAGCACACUUUAACCAUCCUGUAGCUGAAUUAUGCAUGUACUUCUUAUCCCAUUUUGGAUCUCUACCUGGACCCAACGUUUUAAUACACAUACCUUUCAGCAUUUGCAAAUGAAAAUCACAAAAAAAAAACCUCUCUUGGCCAUGGAUUACAAAUCAUUGUAUCACAAUUCUCUGACCAUUUAACUAAAUUUGUACAAAAUGGCUCAGCAUAGUAAUCUCCAAUAGUUUCUUGAACAAACUGGCAUGGAGUUUGGCCUAAUCGAGGACCCUGAGACUUAGGAGUAUGUGACGCAGCACUAUUAGGGACAUCUUUAGAUGAUUUACAUUUUACAGAAUUUUGUUGGGAAUUUUUACCGUUACUGGAGCCCAUUUCCAACUUCACACAGAUAACACUUUACAAUAUAUGAGACACUUUAUAUAUGAGCAACGCACAAUUUUAAACAAUACAACUAUACAUGCAGCGCUGCAAUAAUAAAAAUAAAGAAAGGAAGGAGGCGCCACUACAAACCACAUAAAUGAAAAGAGCAUAGAAUAGUCAGACUAAAAUGCAAUAUAUAUAAUAGAUAAUAAGCAAAUAGAAGUCCAGAAUAAAAAGUCUGACUGGUAGAUGGAUCAAACAACGAGGUAUAUCUUUGUAGAGGUGAAUACAGUCUUUAGUAGUGGAGGAUUCUUCAGAGUGGUGUAGAUGCGUCUUUGUACAUCAUAUGAAAUAAAAAAAAUAACAACUGAUGGUAUAGUACAGGGCUAGGCAGCCUACAGCAAUAGUACCAUGCACGGCACUCGAGGUGCCUUUGCACGGCACUCAAGGCUGCUAGAGCUAAACAGGCACCAGCCUAUCAGGAGUCCCAGUAAAACUUCAGAUAUCUGCUAAUACGAAGAGGUUGUGAAGGACUAUCCUCAAUUUAUGCAUUGAAGCACGUAGAGGAAGUGAUCUCAGAGCACUUCAUUCCAGCACUUGUGAAUGGGAAUCCACACUGUAGUAGAGCAGCUCGCAGUUGUUGUUGCAGCUCCUGUCCUUGACCUGUACCUGGCCGGCCUGUUCCUCACUGGAACCCAGGGAAGCCACCCACACUGCUAGAUGUACACAGAAAUGUAGAAAGAUCCUCCCUUCAUACAAAUAAUACGGACAGCCCACACACAAACAUACACACAAUCCGCACAAACGCAACACCACUAACAAUCCACAUACAUGCACACAACCCCACAUGCAUCCUCUCACAUGCAAUACCCCAAACAGCCCCCACACAUACACACACUACCAAACACACAAUGUGACACAUCCAUCCACACACACAAUUCCACAAGCUGCCCCCAUACACAGCCCACAUAUCAUACACGAUACCACAAACUACUCAUGAACAUAUACAAUAUAAUAGCUCAUAUACACACAAAUACAACGAUACAAAGCAAUUACAGUAUAAAUAACACAAGCAGAAUACGGCAGCAUACACACCUCAAUUAAAAAAAAAAAAUAGGACCGGCACGCUACGGGACAUCACAAUCCUAUAUCGGCACAGUGCUGCUAAAAGGUUGCCUACCCCUGGUAUAGUAUGUCCCGAAAGUUUAUCCCUCUGUGUCCAAACUGUGUAUCCAAUAUAGUUACUAAAUUUGGUCACUCAGUGGGACUGCUAUACCCACUAUAUACAACAAUAUGGAACUCUUACCCAUGAAAAUAUCCAUGUUUCUCUCUUAUACAACUCAACAUGGGACUCUAACCCAUGACAUAAUAACAACCUAACAUAGGACUCUACCCAUGACAUAAUAACAACUUAACAUGGGACUCUACACAUGAUAUAAUAAGAACUUGGGACUCUAACCCAUGACAUAAUAACAACUUAACAUGGGACUCUAACCCAUGACAUAAUAAGAACUUAACAUGGGACUCUACCCAUGACAUAAUAACAAUAUAACAUGGGACUCUAUCCCAUGACAUAAUAACAAGUUAACAUGGGACUCUACCCCAUGACAUAAUAACAAGUUAACAUGGGACUCUACCCCAUGACAUAAUAACAAGUUAACAUGGGACUCUAACCCAUGACAUAAUAACAAGUUAACAUGGGACUCUAGCCCAUGACAUAAUAACAACUUAACAUGGGACUCUAACCCAUGACAUAAUAACAAGUUAACAUGGGACUCUAGCCCAUGACAUAAUAACAACUUAACAUGGGACUCUAGCCCAUGACAUAAUAACAACUUAACAUGGGACUCUAGCCCAUGACAUAAUAACAACUUAACAUGGGACUCUACCCCAUGACAUAAUAACAACUUAACAUGGGACUCUACCCCAUGACAUAAUAAGAACUUAACAUGGGACUCUAACCUAUGACAUAAUAAGAACUUAACAUGGGACUCUACCCAUGACAUAAUAAAAAUUUAACAUGGGACUCUACCCAUGACAUAAUAACUUAACAUGGGACUCUAACUCAUGACAUAAUAAGAACUUAACAUGGGACUCUACCCAUGACAUAAUAACAACUUAACAUGGGACUCUAACCCAUGACAUAAUAACAACUUAACAUGGGACUCAUGACAUAAUAAAUAAUGCUGUAAUAAAAUAUAUUUUGUAAAAUAUUAUAAUGCACAGUUACUUGUAGACUCAAACCCAUUUAACAUCAAAGAGUACAACAAAAACAAAAAGAAAAGCAAAUAAAAAAACAUUACUUUUCUGCAACCACAAAAAAAUAGUUCAGAGAAUCCAAACAGGGCAAAGAACACAAAAAUGAAACACAAAACGUUCCUACCCGAUUUGGAUUCUCUAUCCCACUUCUGACACCAUAUUGUUGUGGUUUAAAUUCAGCAGACAGCAAUGUUUUCUCUCGGGUAUGAAGACAAGGAAUGGACACAGCAGAAAUACGAGCUCGGAGGGCAGUACUUGUCCACACAAAUGUAUGGCUGAAUAUUGCUCCUGAUUUAAUGGGAGAAGACACAGAUCUUAGAUCCAAUUCUGUACAUAUCCAAAAAGGGGUUGUCUUCACACAAUACAUUAGGUUUUACAUAUGGUCAUGUCCAGUGAAAUGCAUCUUCAAAGAACUUAUAACACCUGGCAUUAGCUGGUUAAAAGAUGUUACUUGAUUAAACAAACACUCUCCAAUAGUCAUAAAGAUAAGGUGUUAACAAGAUAUAGGGGGUGGGGGGAACAAGAAGAAGAUACAAAUCAGGAUCAAAGGCCAAUUGUUAUAAUAGAGCAUCCUGACAUUACUCAAUCAUUGUGUGACACAGGAUAUAAGGGGAAAGGGUGCUCAUUAAUCCAUAUCAUUAUCCAACUCUUCAAUUUGUCCUGGGGGCCUAUAAAUCACACCUACACGAGUUACUGUGUGAUUACCAAAUUCUAACGUAACCCAAACGGACUCUGUUCGCCUCACUAACUUUUAUUAGGCUAGAUUUUAUGCUAUCCUUCACAUACAAGGCCACACCACCCCCUUUCUUGCCUUCCCUGUCUUUCCUAUAUAAAGAGUACCCUGGUAUUGCUAUGUCCCAGUCAUUUUUCUCAUUAUACCAUGUCUCAGUAACAGCAACUAAAUCUACACUAUCAGUUGCCAUUAUUGCCACAAGUUCAUGGAUCUUAUUCCCUAAACUGUGAGCAUUUGUAGACAUGACUCUAAGCUUAUCUUUUUUUAACACACGUGCUACAGGCACCUUCUGUCCUUGUUUUGGGGGACAAUUGGACUGAUGUUUUAUCACCCUUUUGCCCCCCCCCUCCUAGUUUAAAUAUAUCCUAGCAAAACACUUUGAACUGCUCACUGAGAACAUUUGUUCCAUUUUGAGAAAGAUACAAACCAUCUUUUUUGUACAGCUUAUCUCCAUUCCAAACAGAGCAAUAAAGCCAAAUCCUUGCUCCCGACACCAUUCACCAAGCCACAAAUUAAAGUCCCUAAUACGCAUCCGCCUGUCGUUCUGAGUGUCAUGCACAGGCAGAACUUCAGAGAAUGACAGUGUGGAAGCAACCUGCCGUAUAUCAUUGGCAAACACACUAAAAACGUCCUUUACCUCUGAAACCUCAUUGCAAGUCAAGUUAUUUGUCCCUAGAUGGACAAGUACAUCCAAUUCCCCUUCCUGCUUUGUUUGCUUAACAAUAUUACAAAUAUGUCUCCUGUCUCUGUGAGCAGUAGCUCCGGGAAGACAUCUCACAAGACCACCAUUGUCCAUCUCCACACCUCUUAUGAUAGAAUCCCCCAACAACAACUGCUUUCUCUUAGGCCUCACCAUAGUCUCCAAGCCUGUCUCCAUAAUACCACUACACUCAGUGCCUGAGCCUGUAUCCAUAAUACCACUACACUCAGUGCCUGAGCUUGUCUCCAUAACACCACUACACUCAGUGCCUGAGCCUGUCUCCAUAACACCACUACACUCGGUGGCUGAGCCUGUCUCAACAACACCAUACACCUGGUACCUGAGCCUGUCCCCACAACACCACUACACUCAGUGCCUGAGCCUGUCACCACAACACCACUACAUACUGUGCCUGAACUUGUCUCCACAACACCACUACACUCAUUGCCUGUUAGGAUUACUGUAGAUGCCCAACACGCAGAACUUAAGUAGAUAAUAAGAAAAUACCUAAGACGUAUUACCGGGCCUUACAAUGCCUUGAACGUAUAAAGGCAAAAAAACACAAGACAGGGUAAAGACAAGAAAUAUAGUAAACGAUGAACAAGCCACGGGUCAGGGAAUGGAGAAAUCAGAAUAGUCAGGAGCCAAGCCAAAGGUCAAAGAAUACAGCGAUCGGAUAGUCAAAAAGGAAAGCCAAGGUCAAAUACACAAGAAUCAAUACAAGGAACGUGCUCUUAGCACCGAGAAUGGACAAAACAGGCUUAUAUAGUCUAAAGUGCUUCCUGAUUGGCUGCAGGGAAGCAUGUGAUCAUGGGCGUGUAUGUGAAACACCUUCAUGAGUAAUACUAACCUGGCCCUUUAAGGGUUAAGCAGGGAAACCCUUAUAUUCUUCAAAGCUGCAGCAGCCAGCGUCUCUAAUGUUGACAGAGCCAGCCGCUGUGAGAGGAGGAGGAGGAGUCACCACAAGGGGUGAGUGAUGGGCGGCAUUCCCACAACCACGUGGAAAUGCCACCGGACCGAGACGUGCCCGCCGGGUAUGAGCGGACUUGGCAGGUGGAGACCUGAGAGGUAGGAGAUCGACUGCAUUCCCCUUAGUGUGUGGGAAUGUCGCCGCAACAAUACGCGUCCUGGCGGGCAGUGUGACACUGAGAAUGUCUCCAUAACACCACUACACUCGGUGCCUGAGCCUGUAUCUACGACACCACUACCCUCAGUGCCUGAGCCUGUCUCCAUAACACCACUACACUUCGUGCCUGAGAAUGUCUCCAUAACACCACUACACUCGGUGCCGGAGCAUGUCUCCAUAACACCAUUACACUUUGUGCCUGAGAAUGUCUCCAUAACACCAUUACACUUUGUGCCUGAGAAUGUCUCCAUAACACCACUACACCUGGUGCCUGAGAAUGUCUCCAUAACACCACUACACCUGGUGUCUGAGAAUGUCUCCAUAACACCACUACACCUGGUGUCUGAGAAUGUCUCCAUAACACCACUACACUCGGUGCCUGAGCCUGUAUCUACGACACCACUACCCUCAGUGCCUGAGCCUGUCUCCAUAACACCACUACACUUCGUGUCUGAGCCUGUCUCCAUAACACUACUACACUUCGUACCUGAUAAUGUCUCCAUAACACCACUACACUCGGUGCCUGAGCCUGUCUCCAUAACACCACUACACUCUGAAAGUGCUGAAAAUGAAUUAUUUAUUAUGUAUGAGCAACAGACUGUGCAAUAUGCCUUUUAUCCACAACUCUACAAAGGCUACCAGAUCCUACAGCAAUCCAUCUGCCAUUCCUAGUACGUUUCUGCGGCAGUGGCUUUGCAACAAUUCCAGCCUGAGUUUUUUUACUGGAUAAUUACAAAUCUCAGACUUCAAAAAUACAAUCUCCUGCCGCAAUAUAGAGAACUGUCUACAGAUUAGACAGCAUCCAAAUCUCCAAAAAGUGGGAUGUGAAACAAAUGCACAGCGACUGUUACACUGAACUAAGUCUGACAUUUUAAUGAGGUGAGUAAUUUAAAUCAAACAAAUGUUAACCUUUUUUUGUACUCCUGUAUACCUCAGAUAACCCCCAGUUUAUCUCCAGAAUAUCUCCAAUCACACACUUUGAAGCAGCUACCAAGCUAUAGUAGCCAAGCUAAAAGAACUAAACUGGCUGUCGCUGGAAUCUAGACGCACCCUUCAUCUUUCCAGCCUUGUGUUUAAGAGCUUUUCUGGGAAACUCCCACCCUACCUGAGCAAAAUGCUCUCCUCAGCUGUUCCCACCUCCUAUCCAGUACCAGCACUUUAUUUAGUCUACCUCAACAGAAAAAAAAAGCAGUCCGAUCCUCCUUUUCCUACAGAGUUCCGCAAUUAUGGAACGACCUCCCACACAAUUUAAAAUCUUCCCCAACCCUAAAGUCCUUUAAGAGAUCCUUCUCUACAUACCUCAAAACAGAAUGCACCUGUCAUGGUUGAUUAUAUAUUUCCUGUACAGAUUGGAGAAUUCAGAAGAGGGUUGGUAAAAACCAGUCCACCUACAGAAAACUCCCUUAAGUGGAGCGCUAAACAAUACUUACCCCUAGAUAUUGGGGUGUAUCCCAAAUGAAGAUUGGAUAUACAAAGCAACAAGAAAAAUAAAAAUACAAUAGUGAAGUAUGUUAAUACUGGUAUAUAAAUCCUAAAAUAGUAAAAGCAAACUCACAAGUGCAGAGCCAAUUGAAGGACUGGCUCAAAAUCACAAACGUCUUGGUGUGCAUAAGGAGACACCUUCCCUCUUUGUGUUUUCUUUCUUAAAUGCUCGUAGAGAAAUAAAGGGAAGAUAUCUUUCUAGUGAAGUAUGUUAAGAUAAGAUAUAGAUACAGAUAAAAUAUUUGGGACUUUGGAACUUCGCCACUUCGGAAUUUCGGUAACUUAGGCACUUCGGAACUUCGGCAACUUCAGCACUUCAGAAUUUCGGAACUUCUCUUGCAGCCGCUUGGUAGAUAACUCCCUAAUGCCCACGGUAUUAGGGAGCUAUCUACCAAAAGGCUGAAAGACCUAAAUUGUUUUUUCAGACAAAUUUACUAAUACUAACUAAAGAUUACUUAGUAUUAGUAAAUUAUGCCCCUACUCGCUAUACCGCGAGUAUGGGCAUGUCUAGUAAACAGUGAGCAGCCUGUGGCUGCUCACUGUUAAAAAAUAAAAUAAAAAAACCUACUGCCCCCCCGGCCCACACCACUGAGCGGCGGGUGGGGGCCCUAAGGUAAAAUAAUGGAAGGGACCUAUUGUCCUCCCCCCUGCCCCCACCCCUGAGCAGUGGGUGGGGGCCCUAAAUUAGAAUAAGGGGGGGGGGAUCUAAUGUCCCCACCAGAUUAGAAUGAGGGGGGAGGACAUUAGGUCCUAUUGUCCUUCCCCCAGGCCCCCACCCCUGAGUGGUGGGUGGGGUUCCUAAAUACUAAUUGGGGGGGACCUAAUGUCCUCCCCCCUGACCCCACCCCUGAGCGAUGGGUGGGGGCCCUAAAUUAGAAUGAGGGGGGGGAGGACCUAAUGCCCACCCCUAAUUAAUAUUUAGGGCCCCCACCCACUGCUUAGGUCCCCCCUGUGACGAAGUGCCCUUCGCCACUUGGUCCUGGAGAGGCCUACUUGCCAGCCUCCUCCCCUGUGACUAUGACUCUUUCACGUUUCUGGCUUUAAAGACCCUAGUCUACCUUCAGACAGACUAUUUAUGUAGGCUGCUUUAUUUAUCUUAUGUUUUAGUCACCCUGUACCCAUUAUAGGUGCAGGGUGUAUGUAAUGUAAUUGUUUAUAGUGUGUGUGUACUGUGUAAUGUAUUGCCUGCUCUCUUGUACUGCUGAGGUUUGCUACCAACUAAGUGGGUUUGGCUAUGGAGCUUGUCUAGUGCCCUCUGUUGGUAGCAACAGCAAUAUGCACUACCUGAAUAGCAAGACUGGUUCAUUUGCAUAUUCGGGUAGAUUUACAUAUUGCUAAUUCUGCAGACACAUGAGAUAUUUUCUGUUAAAUAUUGUCUCCCCCACCCCUUUAAAAAUGUGCCAUUGUGUUGUGAUAAGUCACUGUGUGUUGCCUGCUAUGGUUUGACUGUUUGUGAUUUUAUUGAGUUUUCACAGCAAUGUUAAUGUUGUGACCCUAUGGGCUGGUCCCAAUGGAAAUAAAGGUUUAGACAGUUCUUCUUGAUUCCUCUAAAUGUAGCCUUGCCUCGUUAUUGGAAGAUGCUGUUAUAAUCACACUGGGGAUUGCUUUGCUCUGCAUACUCCCCUGAGCUUGAAUCACUUAGCUCUUUUAAGAGCUUGUUCCUGACACGCUCUCUUUGGAGGAGGGGUCUUCACCACACAGUCCUGGAUGCUUGAGGUUCAUACAGGGUGGAAGGAAGAGUUCUUUCCCACACAGUCCUGGAGGACAGAAGCUGAUCCAGGGUGGAAGGAAGACGGCGAGACUCCAGUCAAGACACAGCGGUUGCGGAGUCUGCGGUGGUUGUGGUGUCUGCUGCACUGCUUGGAGUCCUCAGGAAGCGCUAGGAGCAUCCGUCAACGGCGGGUACUCAGUUGGAGUACAAGGAGCUCCGUUACAUUGGUGGCAGCGGUGGGAUGGCGUCCUAGUGCGAGGAGAAGCAGCUCGGAGACACUGGUAUCGUAUGAGAGGUUAUUGAGGGCAACGCUAGCCACUGUGCAGCGUCCCUAACUACAGCAGCAUGGAGCAGGGAUGGAUAGAGCCCUGCGAAGAGCACCUCAACAUGAUACGUUGCUACGAGGACGAGGGGGAGGUAAAGAGGCGGUUGGUCUGCUAUGGCCCAGACCUUUCGAACGAGGUGGUCCACCAAGUAAUGCGCCAGUUGAGUGCUGAGAACAGUGCGGCAAUGGCCUUUGAGCAAAAACUGUGGAGGUUGAGGAUAUGGACACCUGGUCUCCAGCGGCAGUGCAAGUUACAGGGAGCCGAAGGUGUCGUCCUUCCUCCCCAGCGGCAGUGCAAGUUACAGGGAGCCGAAGGUGUCGUCCUUCCUCCCCAGCGGCAGUGCAAGUUACAGGGAGCCGAAGGUGUCGUCCUUCCUCCCCAGCGGCAGUGCGAAUUCCAGGGGGCCGAAGGUGUCGUCCUACAGGGAGCAGAGACAGUUGGUCUCUCUCUCCAGCAGCAGGACAAUGUUAUGGGAGUGGCAGCCUGUGUUUCAGGGAGAGGAGCACAGCACCCUAUCUCCCCAGCGGCAGCUUACCCUACCAAGGGGAGACACCAAUCUCCCAGAUGGCGCAGAUGGGACCGUGGUCUCUGUGCCCGACCUACAGGGAUGCUGGACAGCCUGUCCAGAUCCCCAACUACCCUCACAGGGACAACAGGAGGAGCGGGUAAGUACGAAUUCCCCUCCCCAGCUAACUCCUAACUUGGCCCCAGGGUUAACAGAGGAGAUGUUAACCCCCACUGACCUCCACAUUCCCCUGGCUACUGAGCCGGACUAUGUCCCAAGCCCCCCAGCGGAAGAGUUGGCAGCUGGGCAGAGUAGAGUCGGCCCCUGCCCUCCCUUUGUCCCUUGUCCAGAGCCUGUUGUCCUGCAAGCUAUACCAGCAGAAGAGCUGGCAUCAGGGCAGACCGCCGCUAGCCUCUGCCCUACCGAUCCCCUUGUCACAGGACUGGCCUGCACCCCCCUCCUCCCAGCAGAAGCGCUGGCAUCAGGGCAGAGCGCCGCUGGCCUCUGCCUCUCAAGUCCCCACAGCGUGUUGCCCCAUCACCCCAGAGGAAUACCCAGGUGCAGUCACUGUUUGCUGUGGGUGGGCUGCUCUAAUAACUGUUGUGGGUGGGCUACUCUGGCACUUGUUUAUGGUCGGUGGGUGACUCGACUAACUUAGGCACUGACCGACAGAAAGUCAGGUGCCUGGUUAGUCUUCCCCCCGAAGGGGAGAUAUGUGACGAAGUGCCCUUCGCCACUUGGUCCUGGAGAGGCCUACUUGCCAGCCUCCUCCCCUGUGACUAUGACUAAGUGUUGCAAAUGCUUACAGCUGAAUCCUGGCUAUGUUUGUAUACAUUUUUUCAUUUAAACUUGUAUACAGUGUAACAUUCUUCUUCUUCCACUGGGUAAGUAUAUUAGUACUUAGGCAAAACUGUGCUUCGGAACUUCGACACUUCGGAAAUUCGGUAAUUUCGGAACUUCAGGACCUCAGUAAUUUGGCUAUUCGGAAGUACCCGAAUGUCCGAAAUUUGUCCGAAUACAUAUUCGGCCCGAAACGAAUUGCACAUGUCUAGUGGCGAGAGAGACAUUGCCACUGUUUUUUGGAGGGGCUUGUUGGCUAGCCUCUUGCCCUGCGACUAUGGCCCUGUAGUGAACUCGGAACUACAAACACUGUUCGUGCCUUUUGUCCUGUUAUGGUGCAGUAUAUGGGGCUACCGAAUGGAUUAUGCUUAUGGUGUUCAUUUAUCGAACAAACUGACGAACAGCCGGACUACCCGCAAGUGAAGUGUGCAGCUUGUUAACCUCCCAGAAGCUGUGGUUAGCCGCAUCCUAAUUGUGUGCGGCUGGGUGUCGGCGUUCGUAUGAACGAACGUGUGGUGGCGGCCAUCUUAAACUGUCGAAUGGCUAGCAGUGUUUUGCUGUCGAACGCAUGGAACUACUUUAGGACACUAGUUCCAACGAACACUGCUGGGACUUCCAGACUUCCAGCAAUUUGUCUAUUUUCAUAAGAACGCAGUGGCGUUUGGUAUAUUUAUAUUAACCGGUGAUAUGCAUUUAGUAACUGAGGAAAUGUGUAUAAUACCCAGUGAAAUGAUUAUAGCAACCGGCUUAAUGUUUAUAGCAACCAGAGGUAUGUUUAUACCAACAGGAGUGUGUUUAUAGCAACCAGAUAUAUGUUUAUAGCAACCACACACAUGAUAAUAGCAAUAGGAGAUAUGUUUAUAUCAACCGGUGAUAUGGUUUUAGUAGCUGGAGAAAUGUGUAUAAUACCCAGUGAAAUCUUUAUAGCAACCGGCUUAAUGUAUAUGGCAACAGGACUGUGUUUAUAGCAACCAGAUUUAGGUUUAUAGCAACCAGAGACAUGAUAAUAGCAAUAGGAGAUAUGUUUAUAUUAACCGGUGAUAUGCAUUUAGUAAUUGAGGAAAUGUUUUUAACAUCUAGUGAAAUGUUUAUAGCAACCGACUUAAUGUUUAUAGCAACCAGAGGUGUGUUUAUAGCAAUAGGAGAUAUGUUUAUAGCAACCAGACACAUGAUAAUAGCAAUAGGAGAUAUGUUUAUAUCAACCGGUGAUAUGGUUUUAGUAGCUGGAGAAAUGUGUGUAAUAUCCAGUGAAAUGUUUAUAGCAACCGGCUUAAUGUUUAUAGCAACCAGAGGUAUGUUUAUAGCAACAGGAGUGUGUUUAUAGCAACCAGGUUUAUGUUUAUAGCAACCAGAGACAUCAUAAUAGCAAUAGGAGAUAUGUUUAUAUCAAUGGGUGUUAUGCUUCUAGUAGCUGGAGAAAUAUGUGUAAUAUCCAGUGAAAUGUUUAUAGCAACCGGCUUAAUGUUUAUAGCAACCAGAGGUAUGUUUAUAGCAACAGGAGUGUGUUUAUAGCAACCAGAUUUACGUUUAUAGCAACCAGAGACAUGAUAAUAGCAAUAGGAGAUAUGUUUAUAUUAACCGGCGAUAUGCAUUUAGUAACUGAGGAAAUGUGUAUAAUACCCAGUGAAAUGAUUAUAGCAACCGGCUUAAUGUUUAUAGCAACCAGAGGUAUGUAUAUAGGAACAGGAGUGUGUUUAUAGCAACCAGAUUUAUGUUUGUAGCAACCAGAGGCAUCAUAAUAGCAAUAGGAGAUAUGUUUAUAUCAAUUAUUAAUGGGUGAUAUGCAUUUAGUAACUGAGGAAAUGUGUAUAAUACACAGUGAAAUGAUUAUAGCAACCGGCUUAAUGUUUAUAGCAACCAGAGGUAUGUAUAUAGGAACAGGAGUGUGUUUAUAGCAACCAGAUUUAUGUUUAUAGCAACCAGACACAUCAUAAUAGCAAUAGGAGAUAUGUUUAUAUCAAUGGGUGAUAUGCUUUUAGUAACUGGAGAAAUGUGUGUAAUAUCCAGUGAAAUGUUUAUAGCAACCGGCUUAAUGUUUAUAGCAACCAGAGGUAUGUUUAUAGCAACAGGAAUGUGUUUAUAGCAACCAGAUUUAUGUUUAUAGCAACCAGAGACAUGAUAAUAGCAAUAGGAGAUAUGUUUAUAUUAACCGGUGACAUGCAUUUAAUAACUGAGGAAAUGUGUAUAAUACCCAGUGAAAUGAUUAUAGCAACCGGCUUUAUGUUUAUAGCAACAGGAGUGUGUUUAUAGCAACCAGAUAUAUGUUUAUAGCAACCACACACAUGACAAUAGCAAUAGGAGAUAUGUUUAUAUCAAUGGGUGAUAUGCUUUUAGUAACUGGAGAAAUGUGUGUAAUAUCCAGUGAAAUGUUUAUAGCAACCGGCUUAAUGUUUAUAGCAACCAGAUUUAUGUUUAUAGCAACCAGAGACAUGAUAAUAGCAAUAGGAGAUAUGUUUAUAUUAACCGGUGACAUGCAUUUAAUAACUGAGGAAAUGUGUAUAAUACCCAGUGAAAUGAUUAUAGCAACCGGCUUUAUGUUUAUAGCAACAGGAGUGUGUUUAUAGCAACCAGAUAUAUAUUUAUAGCAACCACACACAUGACAAUAGUAAUAGGAGAUAUGUUUAUAUCAAUGGGUAAUAUGGUCUUAGUAGCUGGAGAAUUGUGUGUAAUAUCCAGUGAAAUGUUUAUAGCAACCGGCUUAAUGUUUAUAGCAACAGGAGUGUGUUUAUAGCAACCAGAUAUAUGUUUAUAGCAACCAGACAUAUGAUAAUAGCAAUAGGAGAUAUGUUUAUAUCAACCGGUGAUAUGGUUUUAGUAGCUGGAGAAAUGUGUGUAAUAUCCAGUGAAAUGUUUAUAGCAACCAGAGGUAUGUUUAUAACAACAGGAGUGUGUUUAUAGCAACCAGAUUUAUGUUUAUAGCAACCACACACAUGAUAAUAGCAAUAGGAGAUAUGUUUAUAUCAACCGGUGAUAUGGUUUUAGUAGCUGGAGAAAUGUGUAUAAUACCCAGUGAAAUCUUUAUAGCAACCGGCUUAAUGUAUAUGGCAACAGGACUGUGUUUAUAGCAACCAGAUUUAGGUUUAUAGCAACCAGAGACAUGAUAAUAGCAAUAGGAGAUAUGUUUAUAUUAACCGGUGAUAUGCAUUUAGUAAUUGAGGAAAUGUUUUUAACAUCUAGUGAAAUGUUUAUAGCAACCGACUUAAUGUUUAUAGCAACCAGAGGUGUGUUUAUAGCAAUAGGAGAUAUGUUUAUAGCAACCAGACACAUGAUAAUAGCAAUAGGAGAUAUGUUUAUAUCAACCGGUGAUAUGGUUUUAGUAGCUGGAGAAAUGUGUGUAAUAUCCAGUGAAAUGUUUAUAGCAACCGGCUUAAUGUUUAUAGCAACCAGAGGUAUGUUUAUAGCAACAGGAGUGUGUUUAUAGCAACCAGGUUUAUGUUUAUAGCAACCAGAGACAUCAUAAUAGCAAUAGGAGAUAUGUUUAUAUCAAUGGGUGUUAUGCUUCUAGUAGCUGGAGAAAUAUGUGUAAUAUCCAGUGAAAUGUUUAUAGCAACCGGCUUAAUGUUUAUAGCAACCAGAGGUAUGUUUAUAGCAACAGGAGUGUGUUUAUAGCAACCAGAUUUACGUUUAUAGCAACCAGAGACAUGAUAAUAGCAAUAGGAGAUAUGUUUAUAUUAACCGGCGAUAUGCAUUUAGUAACUGAGGAAAUGUGUAUAAUACCCAGUGAAAUGAUUAUAGCAACCGGCUUAAUGUUUAUAGCAACCAGAGGUAUGUAUAUAGGAACAGGAGUGUGUUUAUAGCAACCAGAUUUAUGUUUGUAGCAACCAGAGGCAUCAUAAUAGCAAUAGGAGAUAUGUUUAUAUCAAUUAUUAAUGGGUGAUAUGCAUUUAGUAACUGAGGAAAUGUGUAUAAUACACAGUGAAAUGAUUAUAGCAACCGGCUUAAUGUUUAUAGCAACCAGAGGUAUGUAUAUAGGAACAGGAGUGUGUUUAUAGCAACCAGAUUUAUGUUUAUAGCAACCAGACACAUCAUAAUAGCAAUAGGAGAUAUGUUUAUAUCAAUGGGUGAUAUGCUUUUAGUAACUGGAGAAAUGUGUGUAAUAUCCAGUGAAAUGUUUAUAGCAACCGGCUUAAUGUUUAUAGCAACCAGAGGUAUGUUUAUAGCAACAGGAAUGUGUUUAUAGCAACCAGAUUUAUGUUUAUAGCAACCAGAGACAUGAUAAUAGCAAUAGGAGAUAUGUUUAUAUUAACCGGUGACAUGCAUUUAAUAACUGAGGAAAUGUGUAUAAUACCCAGUGAAAUGAUUAUAGCAACCGGCUUUAUGUUUAUAGCAACAGGAGUGUGUUUAUAGCAACCAGAUAUAUGUUUAUAGCAACCACACACAUGACAAUAGUAAUAGGAGAUAUGUUUAUAUCAAUGGGUAAUAUGGUCUUAGUAGCUGGAGAAUUGUGUGUAAUAUCCAGUGAAAUGUUUAUAGCAACCGGCUUAAUGUUUAUAGCAACAGGAGUGUGUUUAUAGCAACCAGAUAUAUGUUUAUAGCAACCAGACAUAUGAUAAUAGCAAUAGGAGAUAUGUUUAUAUCAACCGGUGAUAUGGUUUUAGUAGCUGGAGAAAUGUGUGUAAUAUCCAGUGAAAUGUUUAUAGCAACCAGAGGUAUGUUUAUAACAACAGGAGUGUGUUUAUAGCAACCAGAUUUAUGUUUAUAGCAACCACACACAUAAUAAUAGCAAUAGGAGAUAUGUAUAUAUUAACCGGUGAUAUGCAUUUGGUAACUGAGGAAAUGUGUGUAAUAUCCAGUGAAAUGUUUAUAGCAACCGGCUUAAUGUUUAUAGCAACCAGAAGUAUGUUUAUAGCAACCAGAUUUAUGUUUAUAGCAACCAGAGACAUGAUAAUAGCAAUAGGAGAUAUGUUUAUAUUAACCGGUGAUAUGCAUUUAGUAACUGAGGAAAUGUGUAUAAUACCCAGUGAAAUGAUUAUAGCAACCGGCUUAAUGUUUAUAGCAACCAGAGGUAUGUUUAUACCAACAGGAGUGUGUUUAUAGCAACCAGAUAUAUGUUUAUAGCAACCACACACAUGAUAAUAGCAAUAGGAGAUAUGUUUAUAUCAACCGGUGAUAUGGUUUUAGUAGCUGGAGAAAUGUGUAUAAUACCCAGUGAAAUCUUUAUAGCAACCGGCUUAAUGUAUAUGGCAACAGGACUGUGUUUAUACCAACCAGAUUUAGGUUUAUAGCAACCAGAGACUUGAUAAUAGCAAUAGGAGAUAUAUUUAUAUUAACCGGUGAUAUGCAUUUAGUAACUGAGUAAAUGUGUAUAAUACCCAGUGAAAUGUUUAUAGCAACCAGAGGUAUGUUUAUAGCAACAGGACUGUGUUUAUAGCAACCAGAUAUAUGUUUAUAGCAACCAGACACGUGAUAAUAGCAAUAGGGGAUAUGUUUAUAUCAACCGGUGAUAUGGUUUUUGUAGCUGGUGAAAUGUGUGUAAUAUCCAGUGAAAUGUUUAUAGCAACCGGCUUAAUGUUUAUAGCAACCAGAAGUAUGUUUAUAGCAACAGGAGUGUGUUUAUAGCAACCAGAUUUAUGUUUAUAGCAACCAGAGACAUCAUAAUAGCAAUAGGAGAUAUGUUUAUAUCAAUGGGUGAUAUGCUUUUAGUAACUGGAGAAAUGUGUGUAAUAUCCUGUGAAAUGUUUAUAGCAACCAGCUUAAUGUUUAUAGCAACCAGAGGUAUGUUUAUAGCAACAGGAGUGUGUUUAUAGCAACCAGAUAUAUGUUUAUAGCAACCACACACAUGAUAAUUGUAAUAGGAGAUAUGUUUAUAUCAAUGGGUGAUAUGGUCUUAGUAGCUGGAGAAUUGUGUGUAAUAUCCAGUGAAAUGUUUAUAGCAACCGGCUAAAUGUUUAUAGCAACCAGAGGUAUGUUUAUAGCAUCCAAAGGUAUGUUUAUAGCAACCACACACAUGAUAAUAGCAAUAGGAGAUAUGUUUAUAUUAACCGGUGAUAUGCAUUUAGUAACUGAGUAAAUGUGUAUAAUACCCAGUGAAAUGAUUAUAGCAACCGGCUUAAUGUUUAUCGCAACCAGAGGUAUGUUUGUAGCAACCAGAUAUAUGUUUAUAACAACCACACACAUGAUAAUAGCAAUAGGAGAUAUGUUUAUAUUAACCGGUGAUAUGCAUUUAGUAACUGAGGAAAUGUGUAUAAUACCCAGUGAAAUGUUUAUAGCAACCAGAGGUAUGUUUAUAGCAACAGGACUGUGUUUAUAGCAACCAGAUAUAUGUUUAUAGCAACCAGACACAUGAUAAUAGCAAUAGGGGAUAUGUUUAUAUCAACCGGUGAUAUGGUUUUUGUAGCUGGUGAAAUGUGUGUAAUAUCCAGUGAAAUGUUUAUAGCAACCGGCUUAAUGUUUAUAGCAACCAGAAGUAUGUUUAUAGCAACAGGAGUGUGUUUAUAGCAACCAAAUUUAUGUUUAUAGCAACCAGAGACAUCAUAAUAGCAAUAGGAGAUAUGUUUAUAUCAAUGGGUGAUAUGCUUUUAGUAACUGGAGAAAUGUGUGUAAUAUCCUGUGAAAUGUUUAUAGCAACCAGCUUAAUGUUUAUAACAACCAGAGGUAUGUUUAUAGCAACAGGAGUGUGUUUAUAGCAACCAGAUAUAUGUUUAUAGCAACCACACACAUGAUAAUUGUAAUAGGAGAUAUGUUUAUAUCAAUGGGUGAUAUGGUCUUAGUAGCUGGAGAAUUGUGUGUAAUAUCCAGUGAAAUGUUUAUAGCAACCGGCUAAAUGUUUAUAGCAACCAGAGGUAUGUUUAUAGCAACCAAAGGUAUGUUUAUAGCAACCAGAGGUCUGUUUAUAGCAACAGGAGUGUGUUUAUAGCAAACAGGAGUGUGUUUAUAGCAACCAUACACAUGAUAAUAGCAAGAGGAGAUAUGUUUAUAUCAACCGGUGAUAUUUUUUUAGUAGCUGGAGAAAUGUGUGUAAUAUACAGUUAAAUGUUUAUAGCAAUCGGCUUAAUGUUUAUAGCAACCAGAGGUAUGUUUAUAGCAACAGGAGUGUGUUUAUAGCAACCAGAUUUAUGUGUAUAGCAACCAGAGACAUGAUAAUAGCAAUAGGAGAUAUGUUUAUAUUAACCGUUGAUAUGCAUUUAGUAACUGAGGAAAUGUCUGUAAUAUUCAGUGAAAUGUUUAUAGCAACCGGCUUAAUGUUUAUAGCAACCAGAGGGAUGUUUAUAGCAACAGGAGUGUGUUUAUAGCAACCAGAGACAUGAUAAUAGCAAUAGGCGAUAUGUUUAUAUUAACCGGUGAUAUGCGUUUAGUAACUGAGGAAAUGUGUAUAAUACCCAGUGAAAUGAUUAUAGCAACCGGCUUAAUGUUUAUAGCAACCAGAGGUAUGUUUAUAGCAACAGGACUGUGUUUAUAGCAACCAGAUAUAUGUUUAUAGCAACCAGACACAUGAUAAUAGCAAUAGGGGAUAUGUUUAUAUCAACCAGUGAUAUGGUUUUAGUAGCUGGUGAAAUGUGUGUAAUAUCCAGUGAAAUGUUUAUAGCAACCGGCUUAAUGUUUAUAGCAACCAGAAGUAUGUUUAUAGCAACAGGAGUGUGUUUAUAGCAACCAGAUUUAUGUUUAUAGCAACCAGAGACAUCAUAAUAGCAAUAGGAGAUAUGUUUAUAUCAAUGGGUGAUAUGCUUUUAGUAACUGGAGAAAUGUGUGUAAUAUCCUGUGAAAUGUUUAUAGCAACCAGCUUAAUGUUUAUAGCAACCAGAGGUAUGUUUAUAGCAAGAGGAGUGUGUUUAUAGCAACCAGAUUUAUGUUUAGAGCAACCAGAGACAUCAUAAUAGUAAUAGGAGAUAUGUUUAUAUUAACCGGUGACAUGCAUUUAGUAACUGAGGAAAUGUGUAUAAUACCCAGUGAAAUGUUUAUAGCAACCGGCUUAAUGUUUAUAGCAACCAGAGGUAUGUUUAUACCAACAGGAGUGUGUUUAUAGCAACCAGAUAUAUGUUUAUAGCAACCAGAGACAUGAUAAUAGCAAUAGGAGAUAUGUUUAUAUUAACCGGUGAUAUGCAUUUAGUAAUUGAGUAAAUGUUUUUAACUUCACUUCAUGAUGAUUUGACGUUAUUCCUUUAUCUAUUUUAUGACUGCAUAACUCAAUUUUGCUGCCAGCUUCAAAGCAUUUACCUGAGACAUCGUGUCGGGCAUAGAUCUUUAAAUCUACUUUCUGACAUGUCUAAACCUUAAUUUGCUUACUAUGGGACUUUGUAAGAUUUAGAAAGUAAAAUGAAUUACUAAGUUUUAUCUGUCCCUGGUGUCUGGCUUCCCUGGUGAAGCUGUGUGUAAGAGUAUUUUAUUUCACUAACAUUUAGAAAGGGUAUUCCACCCCCCUGCUUGCUGUGAGACUCAUUGCCUUGUUUACAUAACGCAUUCCUUAGCUCAGACUUGAAUGAUUAGAUUUACAGAUAGGAAAGAAAUGUUGUGUCUGUCUUGCCUGAAAUCCAAAAUGGAGUCUGCUCUGUUUUAAGUGUAACUGGCAAUGUACCCUAUUCAUUUUUAUCGUAGCGCAGAAUGUCUGCCGCUAUAAAUAUAGUGACAUUGCAAAAGGAACUAACAUACACAGGUUUAUUUUUACUCAGUAUUUCCCCAUAUGCUUAUUACAUUUAAAUUAUUGUGACAAUUUCAAUAAAAUACAAAUAAACAAAUUAUAUCAGAAAACAUUCAGGAACUUAUAGUAACAUAAUUAAAUAUUUAUAAAGGGGUGGGGAAGACAAUAAUUAGCCUAAAAUAUCUUUCAUGUGGCCUAUAGUUUAGUGGAAGAAGAAGUAUACAUGUUAGGUAUAUUUUAAAAUCACAACUUAUUAUAUAUGACGAGGCACAGCACAUAAAAGGUGGAAUUGCUUUCUUUAUCCAUAGUUGUAGAUAGAGCAAUAUCAAUACCCCUAAUACUUUUUUUUUUUUUUUUUUAAUUCUUUAUUUUUGUUCGUGCAUAGAAUGACAAUUAGGUCUGUUACGCCCCAACAGCGGUGAGAGACCGAUAUACAACAGCUGGUAUCAUGGCAUAGGAAAUACUGUGCACAAUUAUUAGUUUUUGCGGUUAGAUACAUGUUGAAACGAGAUGCAGUUAUGAUUAAGUUUGCUUAGAGGUUAAUAAGGUUACACUGUGUGCCCCUAAUACUUUAAAUUAAAUCUUUGUGUGUUUCUUUCCAGGUUUAUUCAAGAUAACAAAGAAAUUAAUAAAUUCAAGAAUUAGCAGGGAGAAAAAAUGUCAGACUAUGAACUAAACAAUCAUUUUCCAAAUAAAACUAACAUUGUGGCUUCACAUAAAGAAGGAGAUUUAGCAAACACUAAUAUACAGACUAGAGAAAAAAAACUCACAGUCAUCUACAUUUGUACACCCACCGAACAUCCACAGACACAAUAUCCAUCUACUCAUAUUAAGGAGGAACCAGCCUCGUGUGGAGAAGACAAUCUUACUGACAUUUCUAAACCCACAGAACAGCCACAGACAGAAUAUCCAUCUAUUUAUAUUAAGGAAGAACCCGCCUUGUGUGAAGAAGACAAUCUCACAGAUAUUUCUAAACACACAGAACAUCCACAGACCCAAUAUCCAUCUACUCAUUAAGGAGGAACCAGCCUUGUGUGAAGAAGACAAUAUCACAGAUAUUUUUAAACCCACAGAACAUCCACAGACCGAAUACCUAUCUACUCAUAUUAAGGAAGAACCAGCCACGUGUGAAGAAGACAGUCUCACAGAUAUUUCUAAACACACAGAACAUCCACAAACAGAAUAUCCAUCUACUCAUAUUAAGGAGGAACCAGACUCAUGUGAUGAAAGAAAUCUCACUGACAUUUCUGCACCCACAGAACAUCCACAGACACAAUUUUCAUCUUCUCAUAUUAAGGAAGAAACAGCCUCACGUGAAGAAGGAAAUCUCACAAACAUUUCUGCACCCACAGAACAUCCACAGACACAAUAUCUAUCUACUCAUAUUAAGGAGGAGCCAGCCUCGUGUGAAGAAGGAAAUCUCACUGACAUUUAUACACCAGAACAUCCACAGACAGAAUAUCAGUCUACUCAUAUUAAAGAGGAACCAGCCUUGUGUGAAGGAAAUCUCACAAACAUUUCUGCACCCACAGAACAUCCACAGACACAAUAUCUAUCUACUCAUAUUAAGGAGGAGCCAGCCUCGUGUGAAGAAGGAAAUCUCACUGAUAUUUAUACACCAGAACAUCCACAGACAGAAUAUCAGUCUACUCAUAUUAAAGAGGAACCAGCCUUGUGUGAAGGAAAUCUCACAAACAUUUCUGCACCCACAGAACAUCCACAGACAGAAUAUUCAUCUUCUCAUAUUAAGGGGGAGAGAGAUAUGACUGAAAAAUGGGAAUUAUGUGAAGAUGUAAACAUUUUAGAAACUAACAUCUGUUCACUCACAGAAGAUCAACAAACAGAUUAUUCCUCUAUUCAAAUUAUGGGUGACUCUGCCUCUUGUGAAGGGAACUCUUCUGAGCAUGAUACAUGUUCUACCAGCAAAAAUGAUCUUGUAAAGCACCAGAGAACUCACAGUAGAGAGAAACGUUUCCCUUGCUCUGAAUGUGUGAAAUGUUUUACCACAAAAUCAAAGCUUGUUCAACAUCAUCGAACUCACACAGGAGAGAAACCGUUUUUUUGCUCUGAAUGUGGGAAAUGCUUUACCACAAAAUCACAUCUUAUUCAGCAUCAUAGAUCUCACACAGGCGAGAAACCGUUCUUGUGUUCUGAAUGUGGGAAACGGUUCAGCCAGCGUUCCUAUCUUGUUAAACAUAUAAGAACUCACACAGGAGAGAAGUCUUUCUCAUGUUCUGACUGUGGGAAUCUUUUUAGCUGGUACAAGUGUCUUGUUAGGCAUCAGAGUACUCACACAAGAGAGAAACCUUUCUCAUGUUCUGAAUGUGGGAAAUAUUUUACCACAAAAUCAUAUUUAGUUCAGCACCAGAGAACCCACACUGGAGAGAAACCUUUUUCAUGUCCUGAAUGUGGGAAACGGUUCAGCCAAAACUCAAAUCUUGUUACACAUCAGAAAACUCACACAAGAGGAAAACCUUUCUCAUGUUCUGAAUGUGGGAAAUGUUUUAAAUGUCAGUCAAAUCUUGUUAAACAUCAGAGAACCCACACAGUAUUCUCCUGCUUGGAGUGUGGGGAAUGUUUUACUUGGCAUGCAAACUUUAUUAGACAUCAGAGAACCCACACCAUAUUCUCAUGCUCCGAAUGUGGGAAAUGUUUUACAUGCAAUUCUAACCUUGUUAGACAUCAAAGAAGUCACACUGUAUUCUCGUGUUCAGAAUGUGGGAAAUUUUUUACGUGCAAUUCUAACCUUGUUAAACAUCUUAGAACUCAUACAGGAGAGAAACCAUUCUUUUGUUCUGAAUGUGGGAAAGCUUUUAGCUAUUAUGAAAGCCUUGUUAGGCAUCAGAGAACUCACACUGGAGAGAAACCAUUCUCGUGUGAUGAAUGUGGGAAAUAUUUCAGCCAUAAUGCAAGCCUUGUUAGGCAUCAAAGUACUCACACUAAAGAGAAGCCCUUCUCGUGUUCUGAAUGUGGGAAAUUUUUUAUCAGUAAAUCACAUUUAGGUCGGCAUCAGAAAACCCACACAGGAGAGAAACCUUUCUUGUGUUCUGACUGUGGGAAAUGCUUUAAAAGAAAAUCACAUCUAAUGCGACAUCAUAGAAUUCACAUACAAGAGAAACCUUUUUGAAUUUGAGAAAUGUUUUAGCCAAUGCCAAAUUGUUGGCCAUGCUGAGAGCUUUUUAAAGUAGAAAUAUAAUCACAUUUUGUGUUUUGGGGCAGAGGGGGUUAUAUGUACAGAUUAUGUAGAGCCUGGGGUGAUGUGCAUUAACAUAAAAAGCAUCUUAAUAUGUCUGAGGAUUGUGCAAUAUAUAUAUAUAUAUAUAUAUAUAUAUAUAUAUACACAUAUUACUCAUAUGGGCAAUAAACGAUAGAGCCCACUUAGUAAAGAAAAUAGACUUUGUGUUUAGCUAUAGCCUAUGCAGGGCCAGCUUCAUGGGUGUGCGAGCUGUGCGACCCCACAGGGCACCAUUACAACGGGGGCUUUGGGCAGCUGAAGCAGCUCACACACGCAGGGGCAGAUAACAUCAAAACUCUCCGCAACAAGUAAGGGAGGUGGAGCGGAGCUUAAUAGGGCGGGCCAAAUCAGCAGUUUGGUGGUGUCAAAUAUGGCCUCUAUUAGCUGCUGUUACUGCUGCUCACUAAGGUAGAAGCAGGAAUGAGUCCCUGCUUCCCCAACUACUAGACACCAGGGACUUAAUUGAAUCAACCCUCUUCAAGCCCAUACUGUCUAUAAGUGAGAGAGAGAGAGUGUGUGUGUGUGAGACUGUCUACAUGUAACUGUGUGUGUGACUGCCCGGAGACUGAGUUACUGUCUACCUAUAAUUGUGUGUGUGACUGUGUGUGUGACUGUCUGUCUGUAAUUUUGUGUGUGACUGUGUGUGUGUGAUUGUCUGCCUGUGACUGUGUGUGUGUGUGAGACUGCCUGUGAAUAUGUUUAAUUACCUGUGUGAAUGUCUGUGUGUCAAAGUCUGCCUGUAACUGUGUGUGACUAUCUGCUUGUAACUGUGUGUGUGACUGCCAGUAACUGUAUGUGUGGGACUGUGCGCAUGUGGCUUUAUUUUCACAGUUAAUACACAUAUGUGUAUUACUGUGUGCAUGUGACCCUGCAAAACUACACAUCUGCACACAUGGGCCUACAUGCAUUUUUAUUUUUUAAUCUGAAUUAAAUACCUACGAAUAUACACAGAGGUGGAGGCACAGACCAGAUUCCCAGCACACUGAACCACCAUAGAGAUUGGCAUGCCAUCAUCCAUACAAGGUAACAACAGUGAAGGGGGGAUUAUAUAUAUAUAUAUAUAUAUAUAAAAAAAAUGAUUAAUGUAAUAAAGCCCCUAUACAAACACUACUCCCCUAUGCACAAAUUCUAUGUAACCAUAGAGGGGCUUCUAAUGGCCUAAGGCUGUCCCUGAACCUAUGUAGAAUAAUGGUGGUUAUUUUUGAGCAGUACUAGAUAUAGAUGUACUAUAAGUGUUUGAAAGAAUGCUAGCAAAAUAUGUAGGGGAAGAUUUAUUAGAAUGCCAUGUUCUGAAACGUGUAAACGGACAAGAUAACGAAUAUGCCUGCUAAUUGGUUUUCAUGGUGAUUGUCCCACAUUUAGAUAUUUGAGUGGUUGCACAGCAGAUGGGCUACUCUGACUUUCUCGAAAUUCUACAGGAAAACUCUUUCAUACUUACUUGCCACCUAUACCUACCUGCAGAGGCAACAUCCUUAGGCACCUGCACACAGUGUGGUGACAGCCUUUAAUGUCAAAGAAUCACUGAGUCUUCCCACUACUGGGGCUUUCCAAGUUCCGGGCGAGGGAAACAAACAAUCCCUUUACAGGUUCUUAAUUCGCUCAGCCAUGAAACUUCCUUGAGAUCUUCCUCCCCUUCAAACGGUGGGGGUUAUCAUGGUCCACACUGGCGAUGCUUCAAGUAUUGCCUGACUCAGACAGUCUUAGCAUACAGAGGCAAAAGGGCCUUGUUACAAAAUGCCUUUUGUAACUUUUGUUUUAUGCGACAAAUUGCCCUGCUUCCCUGUAUUAUGGAGAAGCCUCAUUGCCAGCCUUCUUCCCCAUGUCUAUGCACUUAGUGUGUAUGGCCCUUUAAGAACCGUCUGGGGACACAUUGAAACUUUUGGGAACAAUGCCCAUUUAAGACUGUGUCCCCAGGCCCCUAAAAUACCUUGUUUGUUCCCUUUUCUGAACCAAGUACCACACAGGCGGACCACCCAGAAGUGUAAGUGUGUCGUCAUUUUACCUCCCAGGCUGGGAGGCUGCUGAAGGUAAAUUACCAACCGCUGGGGCGGCCAUCUUUAUCCAGGUGAACGCGGUCAGCGGUGUGUGCAGCCAAAUUCAUGGAACUGAAAUCAGCUACACAUUUAGCCGAACACCGCUGACCCUUACCUUCUUGGUAGUUUUCGGCCACAGAGACUAAGUACCGUUUGUGCAUGCGAAUAGGACUUAGUCAUUUUUUCAUGUGAAAUUGACUGACUGCACAGCCCAAAUCUAUGUAACGGUUUUGGGCAGGAAAAUGUGCUUGCGGUCACAAAGGACUUCCGUCUAACUUUUUAGCUACUGGAGGGAUUUGUAUGAUUUUUGAGAGUGUUUAUAUUUGAAGUAUGCUGAGUUUGAAUAUGUGAUUUUUAUGAAGACUGGAUGUAUAGUUUUAAAGUUACAGCAUAUGUGUAAAAAGUAUAUUUUUCCUGCCUGUGAUAGUUACAUUAAACCAUUGUGUACAGUAAUUAUAUCACAGGUAGAGGGGAGGAUUUUGUGGGAAUGAAUGGGAGUGUUUUUCUGUAAUGUACGUGUUUUAUUGGUUGUUCUACAAAACCCUGUGGGCGGUACUGUAUGUGUAAAACCUGCAUAAAAGAAAGCCCUUUGGUGCCAAUUAAAGAGAACUACUUGACCCUCUAACUCACAGCCUCGACUCGUGUUUGUAGGAGACAGCUAUAAUCACUAAAUGCUCUUCAUAAUCCCUUAGCUACUGAGCUCUUGUAAGAGUUCUUGUUCCUGAUCCUGCUUCGCUCUACAGAAGGAAGAGGUUCACCUACUGGAACCUGGAGCCUGGUCAUAGGUCCAGGGUGGAUAGCAGACAGCGAGAUCCCAGCCCAGCAGUGGUGGUUCGUAGAGUCUGCAGUAGUUAUGGUGUCUACGGUGCUGAUGGUCCUUAGGUGAGCGCGAGGAGCAUCCUUUCUAUGGUCCAACUUCCAGCUAGCCUGGAGGCAACCAUAACAGGCGUACUUAUCAAGAUUGACCUGUGCCCACAAACCAAAGACCUAUUAGCAAAAUACAAUCUGCUGAUGAAGGACUUCUUAGAUGGGUUGAGACAGAGAGCAACAGUAUGCCUACCUCAUCCUGACCAGCUGGCUGACAAUUGACACCCUCAAGACCUUGUACAGGGUGACUCAGCAAGCACCCACAUCAUUCAAUGGCACCUUUGUAGGCUGGGAGCUAGCUUGGGUAGAAACUGCUCACACCAACCACAUCCUCCAACAGCUUUGCAACAGAGGCACCAUCGAUCUCAAUCACUGCAGCAUACCAGGCAAAAGCACCCUGAACUUUAUCCAAGUGUGGGACAGUGGAGGUAGGCUUAGGGCUCUUAUACAGGCCUGGGGCGGGUAUGAAGUGUGUGACAGGACACCCAAUCAGCAUCUUGCUUACAGCCUACCCUAGCCGCUGAGGUAUAGUGGGCAUGACCGGGAAAUCUUAGCCUGCUGGAACUCUGUGCCAGAUCGAGGGGCUAGUCACUGAACUUUGAACUUCUAAUUCAGGCUAGCAAUAUCCGAUCCGAGCGCUUUUCGGACACAAUGGAUGCUCCAGGAAGACCUUUCUGGAAAUGUAGGUUCCUAUAUGUUUUAUAUGUGUUUUUUAUGGUUUACAUUGUUAUGCUUAGUCAUGCUGACACAAGAAAUCUAGUUUGUAUUUUUAUGCUUGAAAUUCAUGGGCAUGUUGUGGGAGUGUUCUGGGCAUGGUUGACUGUACCCUUGCUGUGUAUAUAAGUGGACCAUCUGGACAUGAUAAAUGCAUUACCUCUUCUGCUUACUAAGUGCAUACUCAUAUGUAAUCGCAAUUAACUCUGUGUGACAUUUUCCAAAAUGUGGUUACUCGUAUAAAAUUUACAAAACAAAUGGUGCAGUAUUCUCCUACAAACUUGUUUUACCACAUAUGAUUUUACGCUUUUUAUUGUUGUUGCAUAUUUUUUGUAUACUGCUUGAACCACAGUACAAAAUGAUUGACAAAAAGAUGUGAUACUUUUAAAGAUGAUUUACAAGCUGAUACCUGAGCCUAACUUGGCUUAAUGCAUGUAUAAUGUAAGUGUAGGCUUUGCAUGACUCUGGGAAAUAAAUUGGCAUUAUAAGUGCUCAGUUAUAGCUUUAAACAUUGACAUUCUAGCUCUGUCUUCAGCUAUAAAUAUUGAAAAACUGGGUCUGUGAGAGUUAUUUAAUGCCCCAUUAAUCUCUCAAUGAUUUCUAUUCUCUGUGACAAUAAAGGGGAAAGCAAAACAUUUGAGAUGUUUGUAAUUAGAGAUCAUCGAACUCUAACACCAAUCAUUAAUAAAAAAAUAAUCAAAACAGGCUUGUGUAUGACCUACUUUUCCAACACCCUGGGUUCAUGGGGAGUCCUACUGCAGAGCCCCUAUCCUUUCUUGCCUCUUGUGGGAUAAUUAAGUGUUUGGUAAUAAAUAGGGCAGAGUAUGUCCUGGCUUUUUGGCUAUUAAAUGGUACAUGUCAUGACAAAUACAACUUACUCUGAUAUGAUAGAAAAUUUAAUUUCAUCUAUGCAUCGUGCUAGCAAAUGUCUGCAUUUCUCUAAAGUCAAAUGUUAAAAAAUAGUCCUUUCCCCAUCUACUCAGGACAGACUUUGUGUGAGAGUACAUCCAGCAGCAGCACAGAGAGAGGAAAGAAACAGAAUGACUUUGUACAAAAGCUAUAGACUCGCAGUCUGAUAAUGGAGAGAGAAAACAGAUCUGUGUAGAGGAUUUUUACCCUGAAGAGGUUUAUCAUACAGCAAGUGUAACACCCACUGAAAACAUGAUUGAUGUUCUCCGCAUGAGAUGGAUAAUGGAAAUAAAUUAAAAUAUAAGUUUUUAAUAGUAUUAAGGAAAUAAAAUUUUUUAUACAUGAGCCAAAGCAGAUGGUUAGAAAACUGCAACCUUAUCACUGUCAUGGAAGGUUCACUGUAAUAUAUAAUGUGAAUGAGAGUAUGCCCAAUCAUCUGGCCCUUAACCCCUUCACCACUAACUAAUCUGACAUGGUACUGUUACGGUUGCCUCCAGGCUGGCUGGAAGUUGGACCGUAGUAAAGAAUGCUCCUAGCGCUCACCAAAGGACCAUCAACACCGUAGACAACAUACUACUGCGUAGCUACCAUAAGUACUGCAGACUCCACGAACCACCGCUGCUGGGCUGGUAUCUCGCCGUCUGCUCUGUGCCCUGGACCCACGACCAGGCUCCAGG
This is a non-coding RNA of Pelobates cultripes (western spadefoot toad), 48001 nucleotides long. NCBI's taxonomy places the organism in Eukaryota, Metazoa, Chordata, Amphibia, Anura, Pelobatidae. The record is from the annotation of a GenBank genome assembly.